Molecule: long non-coding RNA, 55963 nt
Filed under: Ananas comosus (pineapple)
Lineage: Eukaryota; Viridiplantae; Streptophyta; Magnoliopsida; Poales; Bromeliaceae
Description: long non-coding RNA (ACOM_LNC016533)
Source: RNAcentral
AUAUAUAUAUAUAGUUGAGUUGGAAUGCUAUCGGUAGAAAACGGGCUCCGUUGCCACCUAUUUGUUUUUAAUGAUGGAGCCUCCAAAUCGACGAUCGGCACCGUUGAAAAUGAUCUAUACCACUUAAAAUAUUUAGAAAUCAAAUUUUAUGCUUUUCCGAUAUUGUUCUCUUGUCCAUCAAGUGGGCGUAAAAAUGAACGGCUGAAAAUGAAUAUUUUCUAAAAAAUGAUGAUAGGAAUUUUAUAAUCAAGAUCGAGAGCAUAGAUCUUUUUCUAAAUAGUUUAAAGAAUUUUCUAACAAAAAUUCAAUUGAUUUGUAUAGUUUUACACCGUUAAACGAGAAAAUGUCUCAUAUCUACCAUUAAAAUUAUAAUUUUUGAAAUUCUUUGAUCAUUAGGCUAAUGAUGUCGAAAAGAUUUGAAAUUUGAUUUCUAGACACUUUAAGUGGUAUAGAUCAUGUUCAACAGUGCCAAUCGUCGAUUUCGAGGCUUCAUUAUCGAAAACAAAUGGGUGGCAAUGGAGCCUGUUUGCUAUCGAUAGCAUUCCGGCUCAACUCUCUCUCUCUCUCUCUCUAUAUAUAUAUAUAGUCCGGCUGGGACACUAUCGAUAGCACGAAAUAUUUGGUGUUAUCAAAUUUUCUGCCAUUAGAUUUACCUCUUUUAUAAUUUUCAUUCGUUCGAUUAUACUAUUCAACUAACCAUCCACUCGACCUUCACUACAACAAAAACGGUCUAUAGCGACACUUUUAAAUGUAGGUACAUGUCAAAAAAGUGCUGCUAGCUAAAAUUACUAACAAUUUUAAAAAGUGUUGCUAUAUGUGGGGUCGCUAGGUAUAUAGUGACAGUUAAAGAGUAUCGCUAUAACCGAAAAGAGUGCUGCUAAUUUACCAAUACUUAUUUAAGCAUUUAGCAACCGCCAAAACUCUAUCUCGUUGGCUGCGGUGGCGGAGGAGGACGACAGGAAAGACUCUUCGUCUAGAAUUUCAGUAGAUUGAGUGAAGAGAGAAGAAAAAAUGGUAAUUGAUUUUUUUUUUUUUUCUUUUCUGUUUGUAAUCGGGCCAAAUGGAUUGGGUGUGGUGGGUUGAGUAGAGUAAUCUUUUAUUUUUGGUUGGAUUGGGCUUUAUAUUUAAGCAUUAGUAGAUGUUUUUUUAAGUUUUAGGAUAAAUGGGACACUUAUUCAAAAGUGUCCCAAACAUGUGUCCCUAUAAUCUAAUUCUGUUGUAGUGCUUAGGGGGCCCACAUCAUCCUAACCGCACAUCUUUUAAUCCAAGUGCGAAAAACUUAAUAGCACCAAGUCAUUGGUGCUAUAUAUAUAUAUAGAACUAGGUAUAUAGCACCAAUGACUUGGUGCUAUUAAGUUUUUCGCACUUGGAUUAAAAUAUGUGCGGUUAUGAUGAUGUGGGACCCUAGGGUUGAGUGGUUGGUUGGUUGAAUAGUAUAAUCGAACGGAUGAAAAAUGAUAAAAGAGGUAAAUCUAACGGCAGAAAACUUGAUAGCACCAAAUGCUUCGUGCUAUUGAUAGUAUCCCAGUCGGACUCUAUAUAUAUAUAUAUAUAUAUAUGGGAUAAUUGCCUAUAUACUUCUUAUACGUUUGAAAAUAUCCGAUUUACCCCUACUAUUUUUUCCUUUCUAAAAUACCCCUCAUAUGUUUUACCGUUAUUGCAAAAUAUCCCCGCAGUUAUCUCUUAUUAAGUUAACUUCGGUUAAACGCGAGUUAAAUAUCUACCACAGUUAAAAAAAUUAAAAUACCAAUUUUGCCAUUAACUUAAGAGCAAAUAAGAAAUGUUGGUGACGGCAGAGGGGUAUAUUUGAAAAAUCCGAAAGUCAAAAUACCUUUUGUGCCUCUGACUUUAAGGGCAAAUAAGAAAAGUCGGUGAUGGUGGAAGGGUAUAUUUGAAAGGGCAAAAUAAUAAUUUUAUAUAGAUAACAGAGUUCAUUAACAGAUUUUAACUCAAGGGGUAUAUUUGAAAUAGGUUGGAAUGUAAAAAAUGUAUUUUCAAUAUUAGCCUUCUAAGAGGGGUAAAUCAGAAAGUGGGGAACUUUUCAGAGGUAUAUAAGCAAUUGCCCAUAAUAUAUAUAUAUAUGUAUGUAUUUGUGUGUGUGUGUGUGUGUGUGUGUGUGUAGAGCUACUAUGCUAUCGGAAGUAUAAAGUAGUUGGUGUUUCCGAUUUUUUAGCCAUUGGAUAAAAAAUUCUACGGUUGGGAUGAUAGCGGUCCCCUUAGGGUUGAAUGGUCCCCCUAGGAUUGAGUGUGGUCCCCAUUGGUUAAUAAUAUUAAUCCAAUGGUUAGAAAUGAUCAAUGAGGUUGAUCUAAGGGCUAAAAAAUCGAAAGCACCAACUACUUUAUGCUUCUGAUAGCAUAGCAGCUUUACUAUAUAUAUAUAUAUAUAUAACUUGCAUAUAUAUUGGUAUUUAUGUGGAAACGGAGAGAGGAUGGAUUCAUCGUGAAUCAGCGACUGAUUCUAGUGAAAUAAAAUUAUAGUUUUGAUGGUCUGGUAGUACCGGAGAUGCUGGUGCAGUCCGUUCGCAAAUCCGACGAACCGAUCGUCUGGAAUUGCAUGUUGUUCGAGGAAGGGACAAUAUUGAAAAAUCGGUAUUUUUGUAAAAUACCAACUAUUUUAUUUAUCGUUUUGCAUGAGAUCACUUAUGGAGGUGCCUUCGUGCAUUUUAUACAUGCUGUGAGGGACUCUGUAAUGUACCAGAUUGUAAUACUAAAUUAAGUGUAAAUAAAAAUAGUGUGAGAUACUAUUUUUAUUGGACUUAAAGAACUAAAUUAUGAGUCGGAAGUGACUUGUGCUGAAAUCGGAAUGAAAACAGGAGAUUUAAAAUUUUCUGUGAGAAACGGGACUGGUAUUUUUAGCAGAAAAUGCACAGUGUCAGAAAAUUAUAAAAAUCUGAAAAUAUAUCGGGAUUAUUUUUAUAAGGCUAGAUUUAAAGUUUCAUGUCAUUCUGACACCCGGAAAGUGAAAAAUAAAAUCCGACUGCUAUCUGCUAGAGCUUACAGUUCGGUAAAACUUUCGGUGACCAAAAAUGGUCGAAACUGGAAAGUUAAGAUAUUUUCUUGUUUGUUAAGUAAAACUGAGCUUGACUGUCAAAUUUGAGAGAAAACGAACAUUCAGAAGGGCUCCGACGAAGAGGAAUAGAUGUUGAGCUGCUAAACUGCUGGUGUGAAUAGUGUUUUGAGGGUGUUAAUUAUAAAAGAAGAACUUGUCUUCUUCUUCUCCUUCAACCGAGCACCAUCAGCACCUCCAACAUAACACGUUCAUGGAGGAGAGAGAAACCCUCUCUUUCUCUCUCUAAAUAUCUCUCUCAUCUCUCUAGAUCUCUCUCUCAAAUUCGCGGUGUUGGCGGAGAGCGAGCUUGUGAACGCGUUGGAAGCGACGGAUCCAGUCUUCGUGCACCCGGUUGAGCGGCGUGCUUCCGACUCGGCGUUCAAUAUUUGGUAAGUGUUUAGGAUUUGGCUAAUUCCUUUAUACUUAGUGUUCUAAUAGCCUCUAAUGUGAUCUUAGCAUGUUUUCUCCAUUUAAUUUGGAUUAUUUAGAGUGUAUGUACACGCUAGGGUUUGGAAUUGGGGUUUUAGCAAGUGAGGGUUUUGAUCUAAUUAAACCCUACUGUUCUCUAAUUGAAGGUUAGAGGCGAGCCAUUGAUGACCCUAGGUUGCGGAUUAGCGGGCGUUCGGUUGCCGAUUGCGAGGUCGGGCCGAACCGGGUAUCGUGUGCCACGGGAGCCCGAUUGCAAGUGUGGACAAGCAAUCGGAGAGCGUUGUGAGGUGGGUUGUGCUCACCGAAAUGUUUAGCUCGCUUCCAUGUCGAAGCGAAGUGAUGUUUAUUAUUUAUGCAUAUAAUGGUAGUUAAGUGCUAGAUGAAUCUAUGUGAUACAUGCUAGAUGAAUGUAUAAGGUAAAUGUUAAGUAAUGACUACCAUUGGACGAUGAAAAUAUGUGCAUGUUGACAUAUGUUGGGACUAUACUAGAUGCUAUAUAUGUAUGCAUGUUGAUAUAUCAUGAGAUGCUAGACGAUAUAUAUAUGUAUGUUAAUAUAUCUUGAGAUGUUAGAUGAUAAAUAUAGAUGUUGACAUAUAUGGAUUAUGUUAGAAGAACUAUGCAUGUUGGCAUAUAUAGAUUAUGUUAGAAGAACUAUGCAUGUUGAACUUGGGUCGAUAACUCUAGAUUGAUUAGAGAGUUCGACAUUGGAAAAUAAAAACAUGAAAACUAUGAUACUCGAUGUGGACUAGUAGAUUGUCAAGUAGAUCGAGUGGCAUUUGGAUUAGUGUAGUAGAAACACUAUGACAUGUUUUGGAACUCGUGUAGUAGAGACGCUUGUGACAUGAGUAUAGGGAAUUGUGGAUUUCCCGUGUUGUUGUUGUCCCUAGUAGGCAGGGUAUCCUCGAGUGUGAGGAUUGGAUCAUACUCACUUAGUCUGUUUUUACUUGGCGUGGUCGCUCCACCCAAGCAGUGGUCUCCGGAGUACUUCACGAUAGGGGCAGACGUAGUUGUCCCGUAGACGGCCUCGGUGUGUGAGUGUAGUUUCUCCUCACCUAUAAGAUUUUCAGAGUGAGUCUGGGCUUAACCUUUUGGUUAGCCGGUGAGAUUGGGUGACAUUCUUGUGAGCUAUGGAUAAAUCCCAGCAGAGUGGAUUGGCAUCCUAGUUGGCAUCCUAGUUAAGUGAAUUUUAGACUCAGGUGCAUGUGAGACGUCCUUCACCUCGAGCCUGGCUUUGCGCGGUACGCCGCAGAUGAUUUACUCAAGACCGAGUCGAGUGGAUAGCUUUGGAAAGGUAGAUGAAACCUUAUGAGCAGAAUUGUAAUUGACAUGAAUCUAAGAUAGAGAAAAACUUAGAUGUCAUUUGGAUAAACUAUGGAUAGUGAGUAUAAUUAGUAGAUCUACUUACCUCAUUACAUAUUGAGUUGCAUGAUUUGCAUUGUUGCAUAUUGCGAGGCAUGAAUAUGAUAAAUGAUAGUUGCAUAAAAUAUUUGAUGAUGUAUAUAUAUAUAUCUCUGUGGAUACUUGUUGGACUAACAUAUUGCAGUGCCUCCUUCGGACCUGGUGGGUCGAGGUUUUUCCUUGGGUGGUCGUACCCACUGAGAACUAUGGACAAUAGUUCUCACCCCCGUGUUGUUUUUGGGGGUACAGGUUCACACGUGAGCGGCGCGGCGGCGUGAGGACAAGGCGUAGCUUCGUAGAUAGCGCCCUACCACAGAGACCAGAGAUAGCAUUUCCCCGAGUUGCUCUAGCUAGGGGUUGUAGAAAAGAAGAAUGCAAUGUUGUAAUACUAUUGAUUGUAUUUGGAAGAAAAGAAAACGAAAAUGUAAUAUGUAAAAAGCAUGUGAUGUGAAUGCUUGUAAUAGCUUAGUUGUUUAUAUUGUUUGAUACCUUCCUUAUGCAAUCGUUGUAUGAAUACUGUUCUUGUUUGGAAUCUCUUGUAUUGUACUGUUUGCCAUGCCUAGGACGUACAGGAGAAACUCUGUCCGUUCGGUUGUCUGUUGACGACCUGAAUCCGACCAAAUAGGCGGGUCACGGGGCGUUACAGAUAAAGUGGUAUCAGAGCAUAAAGUAGAGAAUGAGAAUGGUUUAGAUGGAUUUAGGAGACUCUAGGAUAGUAAACCAUAGAAGCUAAGGAUCAUUAGAGACGAGGACUUGUGACUUGUGGCGAAAGAUUGAUCGAUUGGGUCAAGUUGGUAAACCUCUAAGACGGAUAUUAGUGGUAGGACGCGUACAACAUAAAACCGAGUGAUGAGAAUAGACGCCUUUGCGUGACUUUUGCCCGAUUUGAGUCGGUGUUAAUUGUCUCGUGUUCGACCCAGAGGGUCGAGAGUUAAUCGUGUUGUUGUGUUUCGGAUAGCGAUGAUAUCGCGUAGGCGAUCUUCAUUUAGAUCGGCGCGGGGUGGGACAAGUGAUGUCCCCGAGCGAUUUGAGGCGAGCGGAGACUUGGAACUUCGCGAGCUUCGGUGGCCCUUGCGAUCUUGAAGAGGUUAGGGGAUUCUCAUCGUGUUAAACCACUUUUGGUCAAGGUGACCAAAGUGUAGUGAGAGAGAUGGUUGGACAAAGUCCAUACGACAUUCCAACAAUGUUGGAAGGAUCAAAUUUGAGUUUAAAAAGGGAUUGGCGAGUUUUAGCAUUGCUCGACACGAAAUAGAAGUCGAACAGGUGCUAAACUGCAAUCUGGGCAUUUUGUACCGGUACGGUAUCAAGGUGGUACCGGUACUGUAACACACUGAACUUUUGCAAAUUUGCAAGAUUCGAGUGUUUGAUCUGUGUUUCGAGUUUUUUCAGAUUUUCUGGAGGGUUGUUAACAGUGUUCCGACCUAUGAUUCGCAUCCCGAGAAUCGAGGUUUAAGCUUAGCACCAAUAUCUCCAAAGUGAAGAUUAUUGGGUUGCUCUCUGGUUUGUCUCUACAGGAAAGUGUACCGGUACAACAUUGAUGUUGUACUGGAACAAGUGUUGUACCGGUACAACAUCGGAAGUGUACCGGUACAAAUGAGUUUUUCUGUCAACCCGAGGCUCGGGUUUGUGCGUACUAGCAAUUUGUACCGGUACACUUUCCCGUGUACCGGUACACAAUGCGGAAUGCAGUCUGCUUGUUUUUGAGGUUUUGGAAUUGUAGCAACUCUACAAGUACCCCACGCCCCCUCUCUUGUUCCUUGAGCUUGGACCAGUAGGGAACAAGGUGAGAGAGCCCCUCCACUCCCCCUCUUUGAUUUUCUUUUUCCUUUUCUUGGAUUUUUAGAGGAUUGAUCUCCUCUUUUGCUUCUAUUGGGCUUUUGGGUGAUCUUUUCACCAUUGGAGAAGCAUUGGAGAAGGGAUUGGAGCUUACUUGAGGGAAGGACUUCAAUCCUAGUUGGUUUUUUUUUAGGAUUGAAGCUUCUAGUGAGGUUAGUAACUAAGAUCUCUCUUUUGGAUCUUGUUUUGGUAGAGAUUUUGAUAUGAAACUCUAGAAAUGGGAUUUAGGGUUUAUUUUGGUGAUUUUGGAUUAGUAGCUUAUAGGACCUAUUUGAUUGGUUUAGAAUCUUUGUAUAGGUUCGAUUAGAGGGCCUCUACCUCCCAUUUGGAGAUCGAGAGAGGUUUUCUUUACAUUAGGUGAGUUUUCACCAUUUUGCUUGAGACGGUUAAUGCUUGAGCUCGCUAGUGUUCAUAACGUUCGUAUAUCUCUCUUUUCUUUACCUUUAGGGUGCCAGGAGAGUAGCGGGCACCUUCGUCGGCGCAAACGAAGGGCGGCUAAGAGUUUCGGUGGGUUUGACUUCAUUGAAUACGGGAGAAAAUCCUCCUAUGUUAUUUUUGGUUAUCGUAAAGUAGAAAUUCAUGCAUAUUCAUGCUAGAUAGCAUUUAUGUGAAUUUUAGAAUGCUUAAAAUUCUUAUGUUAUGCAUAUUGGAAAAUCGCCUCUAUGUAGUAGAGAUACAUAUGUGCAUUGUAGACAUGCAUGUGGUUAGCAUUCUAUCUUAAGAUUUGGGCUCAUGUUUCAUAUGAUGUAAAUGACUAGAAUUAUGUACUCUUGGACACAAAACUCAUGGUCGGAUAUAGUGGACAAAAGUGCCAUAAAUGGGCACUCAACCUAGUAAACGGUUAAACUGCAACAUGAUGACUUACUGAUGGACCAUUGAGACAUCGACUAUAUUUCAUGUUUUAGACAUGAUGACAUUGGACUUGAGACGGAUUUUUACGCUUGCUUGUCAUUGUGCCUAUUCGCACAUGCUUGUGAGGGUCGCUCCCCAACAGCCGGCACGCCGGAGAUAGCCAUCGCGACACAUGCUUGCCCGUGCGGGAUUGGGUGCCGAAAUGGUAUGCCGUGGGGGAGGCUCAUUUCUAGAGUAGGGAUGUUGACUACCACGGGGCCAUUAGGCACGGCGCAAGCCGGACUACCCACGGGUAGGUCCUAUGUGACUUGGAACAAGUGGAACCAAAAUAUAAAUUGGACAAUUAGACAAGUUAGUAAACAAUGAUAUUUUACUACUUACAUUGUGAACAUUAUCUUAGUUAUACUCAUGCAUAUUCGGGUUUGAAUAGCAUUCAUACUUAUGCAAAAUCAUGCUAAGUAGUGACAUCACGGUUUGGUAAGUAUUCAUGUCUAAAUACGUAUUGUUCUUUUCGCUUUUAUACUUGCACUUACAUCCUUUGGCUUUGGGCCUAGUGGUGCAUUUCAUUGAAGUCAGUAAUUACCCACUGGGAACUAUUAUCUAAUAGUUCUCACGCCCCUGUUUUAUGGUUUUCUUUCAGAGUCCUCUACACCGGUGGAGGCACAGGAUCGCGGUAAGGGGAUCGCCAGCUAGAUAGCGAGGAGUUACUUUUUGCUCUCAGGUGGUUUCCUCUUUUUUGGUAUCUAGUAGAGAGUGAGAGAUUUUUGUAUCCAUGUAUAUAGACCACCAUUUGGAUAUGUGUAGCACUUGUAUUUGGGUUCUUCUUUGUUCUACUUUAUGGUUUACCCUUAAUGGAUUUUAGCUCUUUUAUAUGCCUCUAUAUCAUAAAAUCUAAAUGUUGUAUGCUCGGAUAUCUCUAAAUCUUUGUAUAUUAUUGCUUUAUUUAUCGUUUUGUUGUAGACGCCUUAUAUGUUGUAGACGUAUGGCGGGUCGGACACGCACCGGGCGGGCUUCCGCUGGGUCCCGGGGCGUGACAGGUACCCCGUAACAGACCAAGAGUAGCAGCUCUCGGGUUUGAGAAAAUUUGGCUGUUAAACUGGUGACACCCCUGGCGCGUACCGGUACCAGAGCAUCUACCCGAGAAGGCAGCUCUCGGGUUGGCCUCUGCGUAGCUGUUAAACCGGUGACAAAGGUCCCGCGUAUCUGUACCAACUGCAGAAAUCUGCAAUUUUGGUCUGUUGCAAUUGGGGAUUGUUUGAGGGAGUUUUUAUGCAAUUGUGGCAGCUUAUAAAAUGGCCCCAACUCCUCAUCUUUUGUUCACAGCCAGAGACCACCCCUACAUGUGGUUUUUCUCCCUCUCUCUCUCCAGGAGCUUUUCCAAAGAGAGAAUUGGUGGAGAUUGGAGGAGAUUUGAGAAUUAGGCCUUGUGGAUAGAUCAAGGCCGUGCAGUUGUGCGGGUGGAGCGCGAGUCUUAUUGCAAGGAAAGGGGAAUAGGACGGCCAACGAGUGGAUCCGGUGGUCCGUCAAGUUCUCAACUGAUUGCAAUAUGUUUGCACUCGCGAUCCCGAGUCCUGGGGGCCUACCACACAUGGUCCUCGGCAAGAUGUGUUGUUUGUGGGUGUCCUCGUUACCCACAAUAGUGUGAGCUGCGAGAGGGCAAGUGCUACAGGUGUGGGCAACCAGGCUAUAUGCAGGAUGAGAGUCCGCAAGGUGGUAGCCAGGCCUUGACACCGGUGACAGCCUUUUCCUCUCUGGGACAGCCUGCAGGUGUGGCACCUGCAGCAUGGUCGGAAGAGCGGGCAUUAGGGACGAUAAAACCGGAGGGUUCGCUGCGGGUGCGAAGUUGCCGUGGAUACGCGAACCGGGUUGCAGAACCUGCUACUACCGACGAUGCCAUGGCAGGUAUGAGUUAAUUGAAGUAAGCAUAUGCUUCUGCAGGAUGUAGAGUUGGUGCAUUGCAUGCUUAUAUCAUAUGGUAAGUUGCUACUAUUUAUAUAUUAGUAUAGUAGGGACCGAGUGGACGAGUAAGUGUAGAUACCCAGGCAUGCUUAUGCAGUGAGAAUGUAGUGCCUGCUAGAGCAGGUAGAGAGCUAGAUAGCACUAGUGAAUUGCUAGUGAUGGUCUGUGGGCGAGAAGUGGGACUCGCGGUAGAGAUGAAAAAUGGCGGACCGACUCUCAAAGCAAUGUUGUUAGUAAAUUGCGAGAGUUGAGCCAAGACCCUUGAGAAUACCCGAGUAGUUCGAGUAUUUCGGAUGUUGCCCCGGUAGAUCGAACAGUGAAAGUAGAAUCACUGUUGACGGAACGGUUGGUUAGCGGCUAGGUACAAGCACGUGGGCGUAGUAGAACCUCGAAUUGAGGUGGGUGAGUCGUGCUCAUGUGGCCGAUGUGCAUAGGCAAGGCUGCCUAAUGCGCGGUCCCGGGAAUCAAGUCUAUCAUGAACUCAAUUUUUCGGUCCGGCGGCAUCCCAGGUAACUCUGCCGGAAACACAUCUGGAAAUUUCCGCACAACCGCCAACUCUUCGAGAGUCGGAACUACUCGAUCAACUUCUACAACGGUCACCAGGUAAGCCGUGCAACCGCUGUUAACCAGCUUCCUCGCUCUUGUCGCCGAUAUCGUCGCGGCGAAACACGAACUCUUGCAAGCUCGAAACGUGAAUUCCUCGUGUCCCGGCUCCCGAAAUGUGAUCACUCUAGUUUUGCAGUCAAUAGACACAUAAUACUUCGAGAGCCAGUCGAUGCCCAAUAUAACAUCGAACUCCUUCAACCUUUUUAGCAGCAAUAGGUCGAUCGACAUAAUCCAGUCGCCUACUUGUACUGGGCACGCCAAACACCGCUUCCUAACAAGGAAUGAUCGUCCGGGUCCUUCUACACGCCAAACAUUCUCCCCCAGACGAAACUCAAUGUCAUGCACUUGUGCGAAUGAUCGAUUAAUGAAGGAGUGAGACGCGCCAGUAUCAAAAAGAGCUCUUGCUCGAACACCGUUAACCAAAAUCAUACCUGCCACCACAUUGCGCUCCUCAGCUUUGGUGGGCUCCUCUUCUUGCACUUGAGCGGCAUACAUCCUUCCGCUGAGAGCCGAUCGUACAGGCUCAGGUUGACGUGGUGCCGCCGCACGCCCAGCCGACGCCACAGCAGGCGGAACUCCAUAACGGGCUGGAAUUGCCUGAGUCAAUGCAACAGAUGGGGCCGGUGAGACCCAUCCUUGAGGACAGUCACGGAUGAUAUGCCCGGCUUGCCCGCACUUGAAGCACCUUCCUCGGCGCUGCUCACACACACCGGCUCGGUGGUCUCCGCCACAAAAGAUACACCGCUGUGCUCCACGGCCAUUCGAUUGCGAUCGUGGAUACUUCGGGGGCCUUCUAGAACUCGACUGUCCCCCCGAACCACCGCCCGGCCGCUUCUUCCCUUUAUCCUUCUCAUACAUCUCACGGUCCUCACGCUCACAGGCGUUCCCAUGCUAGACCCACAAGGCACGGUCCAAAGCCUCUGCAAAAGUGUGGAACUUAAAGGCAUGCACCGUCUUAAACACUCCGGGUCGGAGUCCUCUCACGAAGCAAUCCGCUCGGUCUUGCUCCGUUGUCGCCACGUCUGGGACGCAGUUCAGAAGAUGGGUGAAUUCCCGCUCAUACUCCCGAACCGUACGGUUGCCUUGCUUCAGCUUCCUGAAGUCUUCCCGCAUCUUUCUCUUGUCGCUGUCGGGGAAGUACUCCGCGAACAUCAAUCUUCGGAACUCCUCCCAAUUGAUCGGGGGAAGAUCCGGAGAUCGAUCCUGCUUCACUCUUUUCCGCCACACCCUGGCCCACUUGUCGAAACAAUGAGCGGCCAAAUUCACUUUGUCCCGCUUCUCGGUGUAAAUGUCCUCGAACAGGGUCUCCAUCGAGGCCAACCAAGUCUCCACUGUCCAAGGAUCUAUCACUUCUCCAUCGAAUGUAGGCGGGUGGAACUUCGUAAACCUCGUGAGAGCCGUGUAUCCACGCUCUCGCUCCGCCUCCUGAGCCGCUGCUCUGGGCGUAGGGGAUCUAGACGCCGCAGGAGGAAUAUCCACCGGUGGGGGUUGCGCCGCCACCGGAACCGGCGCAACGCCCACACUCUCAGCCGCAUUGGGAGCGCGAACCGAAGGCGCAGGCGGAUCGUGGCCUUGGCCAACCGCCGCAGCCGUUGCUUGACGCUCCAUAAGCUCCUGGAGCCGAUGAAACCCCCCUGCUAGCGCAGCAACCUGCGCUCGCAACUCUUGUACCUCACUAGCCCUCUAGCGCCACCGGAGGCACAGCUGACUCGGGCACCACAGGAGGUGGGGCCGGAGCAAUCCGACGCACGUAGCGUCUCUUCGGUGCCAUAAGCUCCUGAAAUGCAAACAAUCGGUUAAUCACCUAACCCAACAACGUCUUCGCAGUUACGAAACGACAUAGCUCAACUACGUUAAUCAGACGGAAGCUCAUAAGUGUACCCGUUCUUGACUCUCGGCAUUGUGUUGUCGGCCGCCAACACAACCGCCUUAGGCCAAGGACUAGUAUCACUCAAUUCACCUCUAGAAACUACUAGAGCAUCAUCAUCCACUUCGACCCAAUCUAUCAACUUCCGUCGCAUCAUCGGUCCACGUCGCACUCACGCACCUAUAACCUUAUGGUUCAACAUCCUAGAGUCUCCUAGGUCAGUCCUAGACUCUCUCUUUUGCUUGCUCUUACUCGCUCUGAUACCACGACUGUCACGCCCCCGCCCCAAGUCCGCUACCGAUUUGGUCCGGUUCGGGCGCGGCGAAUGGACCGCCGAACGGACAGCAACUCCCCUGUCCGCCCAAGGCUUCAACAAAGAGGUCAUGUACACAAGUUCCCAGGAAACACACUUGUUCACAUACAUGAUCUAACAAUGACGACGAAGCACAAACAGUGCUUAACAACCAAGAGCAAGCAACACAGGUAAGUAUACAAGUUAUAAAAAGAGAGAAGUACUUAACUAUUGAACUCAUUUAACUUUACAUAACUCUUUCAUCUUUUACAGUCUUCCAAAACAUAUGUACAAUCACUCUCAAAUCCUCACCCUAUACAACAUCUACUCUCAAACAUAGUUACAAGGUAAAGCUAAUGCAAAAGGAAGUAGAGUUAGCUAUGUACAUAUGCCACUAUGGUGCUAGGCCCUUGCCGCGAUUCUCAUCGGGGCUACUCGAACUCGGACCUACAACAAAGUGGUAUGAGAACUACAAAUAGUUCCGAGUGGGUUCGGCCGCCAACUCCGCCGAUCUUCCCACUAGGUCUAAGCAGGCACAGAUAGAUAUGCAGAUAGAUAGAUAUAUAUAACUGAAAGCAUUAACAAGGAAUAAGCAAGUAUAGGUAUGAACAUCUAACUAUGCCUCAAUCUGGAAUCAUGCAUGCAUGUCAUUCAUAUUGAAUUCGUAGCUACCAUACUACUAUGCUCAAUAAUAAGGGUUGUUCAUUACUUUACCCAAUCAUUCGAUCAUCCGGCAACACAAUCUCACAUUGAUAAGUCUCAUAGGGAAAAGCCUCGCUGAACUAUUCUCCGAGACCGCCUGCGGACAGAUACACUCACUGUCCAGGCAGCGCAUGGCGACUGCCCCUCGAGUGACAAAUACUCCGGAGUGCACAGCCUGUGGGGAGCGACCCUGACAAGCGCAGACAGGCUAUGUGAGUAUAAUCUGAACUCACGAACUGGUCCUACCAACUAAGGUUGGUGUCAACAUAGAAUAAAGCGUUCCAAUACCCAAGCUCAUAGUGUUUUGCUACACUAGGGUUCUUAUGUUCAAUAUCAACUAGAUGCCACUCGUUUGUGUUCAUGGUUAACUAGAUGCCACUCGUUCUUUUGACAAGUUCUCAUUACUCUAGUCCACAUUGUACUAGGUUUCCAUAGCUACAUGUACAUCCAACACAUAUAGGAUUAAACUGUAUCAUACUACCUUGAGCACACUAGGUUCUAGUGCUAUAUCAACUAAGACGCAUUAACACUAGCAUGCAAACAUAGAUAUUACUAACUUAGUUCCCUAUAUGCCAUAUGUUCAAUAUGCAACUGAUCAACAUAGUAACUCAGACAUAGGGAGCAGUUCAACUGCUUCGGGAUGGCACUCCCCCACCUUUUGGUAGUGCCGCGUAGUUAGCAAACUCGACGUUGCGGUCCUCGUACGUCGCUUCAACUCCUCGGGGGAAAGCGAACCCUCAAGUAUCAGUUUCGGCGAUAUCUUCGCGCUCGCUCGUCGGAUCGACGAACCGUCUUCGCCUACGCGUUCGAAGACUUAGCAAUUAGGUUUACGACCUAUUAAACAAGAUCAAAACCUUACAUUUCCAAAAAUCCCUUAUCGUGCCCUAGAAUGGCAACGAUGGAGAAAUCCGUGGUGCGAGCUUCCAUUUCGAGCUCGAACCAUCUCCUUAACCUCAAUAGGUUCCAUUCGAACCAUUUCUAAGCUAUAAAACCCAAUCUUAAGAAAUCCACCAUGGUUGGGUUUGGAGCUUACCUCUUUACCAAGCUCCAAGCAUGCUCUAGCUUGAGGGAGAGAGAGAGGAAGAUGAUCUUCUUCUUCUCCUUGCUCUUCUCCUUCUUCUUUCUCUACUUCUUCUUUUCUUUCUUCUCCUUCUUCUCUUCUUCUUUUCCUUCGUUCUAGAGAGAGAGAGGGAGAGAAAGAAAGGGCAAAUGAGACAACAGAGAGAGAGAGAGGGGUCCCCCACCUCUCACAUAGGCCAAUUUGCAAAUAAGCCCCUCAACUUUCCAUCUAUUAAAUAGCCUCUCACUGGGCAUUUUCGCAGUGAGGGACCGGUCCUAGCUCGGGGAGACCGGUCCCCGAGAGCCUCACAUUCUGGCAGAGGGGAUUUCGCGUUCGGGAACCGGUCCCUGCCUGAGAGACCGGUCCCCGAGAGACCGGUCCUUGUCCGAGAGACCGGUUCCCGAGAGUUGAAUUUUCGGGACUUAGCCAAAUUUCGGCUUCUCUCGCUGGGUUAACGUUCGGGGACCGGUUCUUACCUGCCAGAGACCGGUUGCAUCAAGGAUCCCCGCCGACCCAGCCUGAUGGGACCGGUCCCUCCCUGCCAGGGACCGGUCCCCGAGAGCAAUUCUGCUCCAGUGCAGAUUUUGCACUGCAGCUCUCGCGGACUUUUCCUUAAUGCACUUUAUGCAUUCUAAGUAUCUUCGGACUUUCCGAAGCUUACACCCUCGACGAUUAGUCGGUUCCAAACGAAGUCUAAUCCUCGAAUUUUGAGAAUUCACUUCCUUACAUCCUCCCCACCUUAAAAGAGUUUCGUCCUCGAAACGAACUCAAUAUUACAAAACUUAUUUAGAACUUUAAAUUCUAAACUCAUACCUCGAUUUACUCCUCGAACAAGUGAGGGUGAUUCGCUUUCAUCUCCUCCUCGAGCUCCCAGGUAGCUUCGCGAUCGCUAUGAUUGCUCCACCGGACUCGAACAUAGGGAAUUUCUCGAUUCCUCAACUUACGUACUUCCCGAGCCAAAAUCAUCACCGGAAACUCCUCGUAGCUCAUAUCUUCUUGCAGUUCCGGCGGUUCAUAAACUAAGACAUGCUCAGGAUCAUGCACAUACUUGCGGAGAUUAGAGACGUGGAAUACGUUGUGCACACCCGCAAGCUUGGGUGGCAAUGCUAGUCGGUAAGCCACCGUCCCAAUCCGCUCCAAGAUCUCGUAGGGGCCGAUAUAACGAGGACUUAACUUCCCUCGCACCCCAAAUCUUUUCACGCCUCUCAUUGGCGAAACUUUCAAGAACACGCGGUCACCCACCGUGAACUCCAAGUCUCUAUGGCGCCUAUUUGAAUAGCUUUUCUGUCGAGACUGCGCCGUGAGCAAUCUCUUGCGAGCAAGGUGGACUUUCUACUCCGCCUCUUGCAACACAUCGGGACCGAACUCUACAUGCUCGCCCACAUCACUCCAAUGAAUGGGAGAUCGGCACUUCCGCCCAUAAAAAGCCUCGAACGGUGCCAUUCCCACACUCGCGUGAUAGCUGUUGUUGUAGGCGAACUCGGCCAUCGGCAGGUGCUUACACCAACUCCCCUUAUAAUCAAUGGCACACGCCCGCAACAUAUUCUCCAAGGUCUGAAUGGUUCUCUCGGUCUGCCCAUCAGUCUGAGGAUGAAACGCGGUACUGAACUCGAGUUGUGUGCCAAGGGCUUCCUGCAGGCUUUUCCAAAAGUGUGAAGUGAACUUGGGGUCUCGAUACGACACAAUCGACUUCGGCACCCCGUGCAGCCUCACCACCUCAUCAAGAUACACCUGCGCUAGCUUCUCACCUGCCCAAGUGUUGUGGAUCGGCAGAAAAUGCGCCGAUUUCGUCAAACGAUCCACAAUCACCCAAAUCGCGUCAUGGCCACUCGUCGAGCGAGGUAAACCAAUGACGAAGUCCAUCGACACGUCUUCCCAUUUCCAGACGGGAAUGGAUAAACUCUGAAGCUUCCCCGCUGGAAACCGACACUUCGCUUUCACCUGUUGGCAUACCAAACACUUCGCCACGAAGCGCCCAAUAUCGGCCUUCAUUCCCGGCCACCAAUAAAGCGUCUUCAACUCAUGGAACAUCUUGGUGCCGCCCGGGUGGUCGACGUAAGGAGACCAAUGCGCUUCUUGCAAAAUUAGCUUGCGAAGCUCCUCGUCGUUUGGCACACACCACCGGUUCCGAAACCGAAGUGCACCACUAGCAUCCAUGCUAAAAUCUCCACCACGGCCACUCUCAACAUUGUGCCACACCUUCUGGAGAAUUGGGUCCGCCGGUUGCAGACUUUUGAUCCUCUCCAGUAAGGUCGGUUGGAUCACCAACGUCAUCAACCUAGCCGGAAUUUCUGGAGCCACCACCUCAAGAUCCAUCUUCCCCAUUUGUAAUCGCAGGGGCGUCUAACUUGUAACCCACAAAGCUAGGUUCUCCGCGGAUUUUCGGCUAAGUGCAUCCCCACAUUUGCUUUUCCGGGGUGGUAAAGGAUAUCAACAUCGUAAUCCUUAAGCAAUUCCAACCACCGCCGUUGUCGCAUGUUCAGCUCCUUCUGGGUAAAUAAGUAGUUUAGGCUUUUAUGGUCGGUGUAGAUCUCACAAUGAGCACCAUAUAAAUAGUGUCUCCAAAGCUUCAAAGCAAAGAUCACCGCCGCCAAUUCCAAAUCAUGUAUGGGGUAGUUCUUUUCAUAGCUUUUCAACUGACGGGAUACAUAAGUGAUCACCCCCCCGCCUUGCAUCAGCACACACCCCAAACCCAGAUAGGAUGCAUCGCUAUAUACUACAUAAUUUUCACCCUGCACCAGCAAGGCGAGUACCGGAGUCGUAGUUAAUCUUUUCUUCAACUCUUUAAAACUCCGGUCGCAGUCGUCGCUCCAAACGAAUUUGAUGCCCUUCUGCGUCAGACGGGUGAGUGGAGUCACGAUCUUCGAAAAUCCUUCCACAAACCGUCGAUAAUAACCUGCUAGGCCUACAAAACUCCGGACCUCAGCAACGUUUGUCGGGCGCGGCCAACUCUCAAUCGCCUCUACUUUCCUCGGGUCCACAGAAACACCGCCCUCGGAAAUAACAUGCCCGAGAAAAGCGACUUCUCGGAGCCAGAAGUCACACUUCUUUAGCUUUGCGUAUAAUUUCUUCUCCCGAAGGAUCUGAAGUACUACGCGCAAAUGCUCCGCAUGCUCCUCUUCACUGUGUGAAUAGACCAAGAUGUCGUCUAUGAAGACUACGACAAAUCGGUCUAGACACUCCCUGAACACUCGGUUCAUCAAGCUCAUGAACGCAGCCGGGGCAUUUGUAUGCCCAAAUGGCAUCACGGUGAACUCGUAGUGUCCAUACCGCGUACGGAAUGCGGUCUUCGGAACAUCCUCCGGCUUAAUCUUCAAUUGAUGGUAGCCGGAUUGAAGGUCAAUCUUCGAGUACACCCGCGACCCCUGUAACUGAUCAAACAAGUCGUCAAUGCGGGGUAACGGGUACUUGUUCUUCACGGUGACCUUAUUCAACUCGCGAUAAUCCACGCAGAGUCGAAAAGAUCCAUCCUUCUUGCGCACGAACAAUACCGGGGCUCCCCACGGUGACACGCUCGGUCUGAUGAACUCCUUGUCGAGAAGAUCCUACAACUGAUCUCUUAACUCUCUUAACUCAGCCGGUGCCAUACGAUACGGGGCCUUUGAUAUCGGCGCGGUCCCGGGAAUCAAGUCUAUCAUGAACUCAAUUUUUCGGUCCGGCGGCAUCCCAGGUAACUCUGCCGGAAACACAUCUGGGAAUUCCCGCACAACCGCCAACUCUUCGAGAGUCGGAACUACUCGAUCAACUUCUACAACGGUCACCAGGUAAGCCGUGCAACCGCUGUUAACCAGCUUCCUCGCUCUUGUCGCCGAUAUCGUCGCGGCGAAACACGAACUCUUGCAAGCUCGAAACGUGAAUUCCUCGUGUCCCGGCUCCCGAAAUGUGAUCACUCUAGUUUUGCAGUCAAUAGACACAUAAUACUUCGAGAGCCAGUCGAUGCCCAAUAUAACAUCGAACUCCUUCAACCUUUUUAGCAGCAAUAGGUCGACCGACAUAAUCCAGUCGCCUACUUGUACUGGGCAUGCCAAACACCGCUUCCUAACAAGGAAUGAUCGUCCGGGUCCUUCUACACGCCAAACAUUCUCCCCCAGACGAAACUCAAUGUCAUGCACUUGUGCGAAUGAUCGAUUAAUGAAGGAGUGAGACGCGCCAGUAUCAAAAAGAGCUCUUGCUCGAACACCGUUAACCAAAAUCAUACCUGCCACCACAUUGCGCUCCUCAGCUUUGGUGGGCUCCUCUUCUUGCACUUGAGCGGCAUACAUCCUUCCGCUGAGAGCCGAUCGUGCAGGCUCAGGUUGACGUGGUGCCGCCGCACGCCCAGCCGACGGAACCCCAUAACGGGCUGGAAUUGCCUGAGUCGAUGCAACAGAUGGGGCCGGUGAGACCCAUCCUUGAGGACAGUCACGGAUGAUAUGCCCGGCUUGCCCGCACUUGAAGCACCUUCCUCGGCGCUGCUCACACACACCGGCUCGGUGGUCUCCGCCACAAAAGAUACACCGCUGUGCUCCACGGCCAUUCGAUUGCGAUCGUGGAUACUUCGGGGGCCUUCUAGAACUCGACUGUCCCCCCGAACCACCGCCCGGCCGCUUCUUCCCUUUAUCCUUCUCAUACAUCUCACGGUCCUCACGCUCACAGGCGUUCCCAUGCUAGACCCACAAGGCACGGUCCAAAGCCUCUGCAAAAGUGUGGAACUUAAAGGCAUGCACCGUCUUAAACACUCCGGGUCGGAGUCCUCUCACGAAGCAAUCCGCUCGGUCUUGCUCCGUUGUCGCCACGUCUGGGACGCAGUUCAGAAGAUGGGUGAAUUCCCGCUCAUACUCCCGAACCGUACGGUUGCCUUGCUUCAGCUUCCUGAAGUCUUCCCGCAUCUUUCUCUUGUCGCUGUCGGGGAAGUACUCCGCGAACAUCAAUCUUCGGAACUCCUCCCAAUUGAUCGGGGGAAGAUCCGAAGAUCGAUCCUGCUUCACUCUUUUCCGCCACACCCUGGCCCACUUGUCGAAACAAUGAGCGGCCAAAUUCACUUUGUCCCGCUUCUCGGUGUAAAUGUCCUCGAACAGGGUCUCCAUCGAGGCCAACCAAGUCUCCACUGUCCAAGGAUCUAUCACUUCUCCAUCGAAUGUAGGCGGGUGGAACUUCGUAAACCUCGUGAGAGCCGUGUAUCCACGCUCUCGCUCCGCCUCCUGAGCCGCUGCUCUGGGCGUAGGGGAUCUAGACGCCGCAGGAGGAAUAUCCACCGGUGGGGGUUGCGCCGCCACCGGAACCGGCGCAACGCCCACACUCUCAGCCGCAUUGGGAGCGCGAACCGAAGGCGCAGGCGGAUCGUGGCCUUGGCCAACCGCCGCAGCCGUUGCUUGACGCUCCAUAAGCUCCUGGAGCCGAUGAAACCCCCCUGCUAGCGCAGCAACCUGCGCUCGCAACUCUUGUACCUCACUAGCCCUAGCUGGCUCUAGCGCCACCGGAGGCACAGCUGACUCGGGCACCACAGGAGGUGGGGCCGGAGUAAUCCGACGCACGUAGCGUCUCUUCGGUGCCAUAAGCUCCUGAAACGCAAACAAUCGGUUAAUCACCUAACCCAACAACGUCUUCGCAGUUACGAAACGACAUAGCUCAACUACGUUAAUCAGACGGAAGCUCAUAAGUGUACCCGUUCUUGACUCUCGGCAUUGUGUUGUCGGCCGCCAACACAACCGCCUUAGGCCAAGGACUAGUAUCACUCAAUUCACCUCUAGAAACUACUAGAGCAUCAUCAUCCACUUCGACCCAAUCUAUCAACUUCCGUCGCAUCAUCGGUCCACGUCGUCCUCACGCACCUAUAACCUUAUGGUUCAACAUCCUAGAGUCUCCUAGGUCAGUCCUAGACUCUCUCUUUUGCUUGCUCUUACUCGCUCUGAUACCACGACUGUCACGCCCCCGCCCCAAGUCCGCUACCGAUUUGGUCCGGUUCGGGCGCGGCGAAUGGACCGCCGAACGGACAGCAACUCCCCUGUCCGCCCAAGGCUUCAACAAAGAGGUCAUGUACACAAGUUCCCAGGAAACACACUUGUUCACAUACAUGAUCUAACAAUGACGACGAAGCACAAACAGUGCUUAACAACCAAGAGCAAGCAACACAGGUAAGUAUACAAGUUAUAAAAAGAGAGAAGUACUUAACUAUUGAACUCAUUUAACUUUACAUAACUCUUUCAUCUUUUACAGUCUUCCAAAACAUAUGUACAAUCACUCUCAAAUCCUCACCCUAUACAACAUCUACUCUCAAACAUAGUUACAAGGUAAAGCUAAUGCAAAAGGAAGUAGAGUUAGCUAUGUACAUAUGCCACUAUGGUGCUAGGCCCUUGCCGCGAUUCUCAUCGGGGCUACUCGAACUCGGACCUACAACAAAGUGGUAUGAGAACUACAAAUAGUUCCGAGUGGGUUCGGCCGCCAACUCCGCCGAUCUUCCCACUAGGUCUAAGCAGGCACAGAUAGAUAUGCAGAUAGAUAGAUAUAUAUAACUGAAAGCAUUAACAAGGAAUAAGCAAGUAUAGGUAUGAACAUCUAACUAUGCCUCAAUCUGGAAUCAUGCAUGCAUGUCAUUCAUAUUGAAUUCGUAGCUACCAUACUACUAUGCUCAAUAAUAAGGGUUGUUCAUUACUUUACCCAAUCAUUCGAUCAAUCCGGCAACACAAUCUCACAUUGAUAAGUCUUAUAGGGAAAAGCCUCGCUGAACUAUUCCCCGAGACCGCCUGUGGACNGGCCGCCAACUCCGCCGAUCUUCCCACUAGGUCUAAGCAGGCACAGAUAGAUAUGCAGAUAGAUAGAUAUAUAUAACUGAAAGCAUUAACAAGGAAUAAGCAAGUAUAGGUAUGAACAUCUAACUAUGCCUCAAUCUGGAAUCAUGCAUGCAUGUCAUUCAUAUUGAAUUCGUAGCUACCAUACUACUAUGCUCAAUAAUAAGGGUUGUUCAUUACUUUACCCAAUCAUUCGAUCAAUCCGGCAACACAAUCUCACAUUGAUAAGUCUUAUAGGGAAAAGCCUCGCUGAACUAUUCCCCGAGACCGCCUGUGGACAGAUACACUGACUGUCCAGGUAGCGCAUGGCGACUGCCCCUCGAGUGACAAAUACUCCGGAGUGCACAGCCUGUGGGGAGCGACCCCGACAAACGCAGACAGGCUAUGUGAGUAUAAUUUGAACUCACGAACUGGUCCUACCAACUAAGGUUGGUGUUAACAUAGAAUCAAGCGUUCUAAUACCCAAGCUCAUAGUGUUUUGCUACACUAGGAUUCUCAUGUUUAAUAUCAACUAGAUGCCACUCGUUUGUGUUCAUGGUUAACUAGAUGCCACUCGUUCUUUUGACAAGUUCUCAUUACUCUAGUCCACACUGUACUAGUUUUCCAUAGCUACAUGUACAUCCAACACAUAUAGGGUUAAACUGUAUCAUACUACCUUGAGCACACUAGGUUCUAGUGCUAUAUCAACUAAGCCACAUUAACACUAGCAUGCAAACACAGAUAUUACUAACUUAGUUCCCUGUAUGCCAUAUGUUCAAUAUGCAACUGAUCAACAUAGUAACUCAGACAUAGAGAGCAGUUCAACUGCUUCGGGAUGGCACUCCCCCACCUUUUGGUAGUGCCGCGUAGUUAGCAAACUCGACGUCGCGGUCCUCGUACGUCGCUUCAACUCCUCGGGGGAAAGCGGACCCUCAAGUAUCAGUUUCGGCGAUAUCUUCGCGCUUGCUCGUCGGAUCGACGAACCGUCUCCGCCUACGCGUUCGAAGACUUAGCAAUUAGGUUUACGACCUAUUAAACAAGAUCAAAACCUUACAUUUCCAAAAAUCCCAUGUCGUGCCCUAGAAUGGCAACGAUGGAGAAAUCCAUGGUGCGAGCUUCCAUUUCGAGCUCGAACCAUCUCCUUAACCUCAUAGGUUCCAUUCGAACCAUUUCUAAGCUAUAAAACCCAAUCUCAAGAAAUCCACCAUGGUUGGGUUUGGAGCUUACCUCUUUACCAAGCUCCACGCUUGCUCUAGCUUGAGGGAGAGAGAGAGGAAGAUGAUCUUCUUCUUCUCCUUGCUUUUCUCCUUCUUCUUUCUCUACUUCUUCUUUCCUUUCUUCUCUUUCUUCUCUUCUUCUUUUCCUUCGUUCUAGAGAGAGAGAAGGAAAGAAAGAGAGCGCAAAUGAGACAACAGAGAGAGAGAGAGAGGGGUCCCCCACCUCUCAUAUAGGCCAAUUUGCAAAUAAGCCCUCAACUUUCCACUAUUAAACAGCCUCUCACUGGGCAUUUUCGCAGUGAGGGACCGGUCCUAGCUCGGGGAGACCGGUCCCCGAGAGCCUCACAUUCUGGCAGAGGGGAUUUCGCGUUCGGGAACCGGUCCCUGCCUGAAAGACCGGUCCCCGGGAGACCGGUCCUUGUCCGAGAGACCGGUUCCCGAGAGUUGGAUUUCGGGACUUAGCCAAAUUUCGGCUUCUCUCGCUGGGUUAACGUUCGGGGACCGGUCCUUACCUGCAAGAGACCGGUUGCAUCAAGGAUCCCUGCCAACCCAGCCUGAUGGGAUCGGUCCCUCCCUGCCAGGGACCGGUCCCCGAGAGCAAUUCUGCUUCAGUGCAGAUUUUGCACUGCAGCUCUCGUGGACUUUUCCUUAAUGCACUUUAUGCAUUCUAAGCAUCUUCGGACUUUUCGAAGCUUACACCCUCGACAAUUAGUCGGUUCCAGACGAAGUCUAAUCCUCGGAUUUCGAGAAUUCACUUCUUACAGGUAGGGCAGAGUUUUGGUCAGGACGGCAGUCCGAGCUUAGACCCGUGAGCGUGGAAUGCCAUAUACUAGAUCGUGUGAUCGAUGGUGUACUAAGAGUUCGGUUGUGACCCAACUCGAGGAUUUGUAGUGGUUUGGGGUCUUAAUUGCUCCUGGUUGGAGUGUGUGCGAAUUUUCAAAUGAGAAUUUCACCCAGUGAUGAUUCGGUCUAUGCUUGCGAGCGAGAGAUAUUGCGUGUAUUGCGACAGGUUUAGGCGGUAGGCCUACGUAGGAUCGAUGACCCUUGGUCUACUUGUGGAAACCGAGGUGAGCGGUUUAGCCGAUAACUCUGCUGAUGAGUUUGGCUUGGAUUUACGAACAGGGUGUUCGUGUGAGUUCAUUGUAGGAACGAAUUCGAGUUGGUUGUGGCAUAUGGUAUCAAAAGAUAAAGUGGUCUCUAGGAGACACUUGGAUAAUGAGUAGCUACACGGAGUUGAGGAUGUUGCUCUCUUGAGGAUUGAAAUUAGAGAUGUGCCAGAGUAUGCCAUCUCGCAAUAGAGCAAAGAUUCGGUUGUAAUUGAAGCACUCGCGAGUGGGCGAUGCACCAGUGAUAUUGCUUUUAAGCAAUACCGGUGAUCGAAUCGGAGUGUGUUCCCUAACGGGAUGCGAAAUGCAAAGAGAGGUUCAUUGCAUGCUGGUCAGCAAGUGGUGUGGAGCGUGUAGAGUCGUCGAGUGUCGACUUGCGCUGCCACCGAGACUUGCGGAAGCCGUAAUGCGCUUUCGGUGUUGCACUUGACAAAUGCGUGUGAGGACGGUCUCACAUCCUCCGUAGUGGGCCUUUGGACAGUUUUAAUGAGUGUAAGGCCACUUCGGAGUGGGAAAGUGCAAUAUUGUCCUCAAUUACUGUAAGGUAUCGAAUUCUAGAAAUUCGAGAGCUAAACUUCGUUUGGAAUUGACUUGUUGUCGAUUUGGUGGACUUUGGAAAGUCCGAACGCGAUAGAAAUGCAAAAAGCGCAUUAGGGUGGACCUUGGAGAGUUGAGGAUUUCAAGUUUGCAAGUUUGCACCAUUUCAUCACUCUCGGGGUCCGAACCCUGGUGGUAGGGUCCGAACCCCGUAGCUACGAGAAAGCCCCCAAGGAAGUGGAAAUUUCAUGUGUGCAACUUGCAUACUUGGGCAACUCUCGGGAUCCGGACCCUGGUGGUAGGGUCCGGACCCCGUAGCUGCAGAAACUUUGAGAAUUGCAAAGUGUGCAAUUCUCAUGUUGUCCCAACUCUCGGGGUCCGGACCCUAGCUGGAGGGUCCGGACCCCGUACCUCGAAAUUGCCGAAAAUGGGCUGAUGCAAGAUGGCAAAGUUAAGGGGCUAAAAUGCAAUUUUUGCAUAAGUAUGGCUAUAUGAGAGGCUCUUGCUCUCUCUCUCUCUUCUCAUUUCCCCUCUCCCACACCCUCACACUUUCUCUCUCUCCCUUUAGAAAGAAAAGAAGAAGGAGAAGAAGAGAAGGAGAAGGAGAAGAACAAGAAGAAAAAGAAGGAGAAAAAGAUCAACUCCUUCAUCUUCUUCCUCAAGCUUGGAGAGGCUUUUGGAGGUGAGCUCCGAACCCUUUUAAUGGCAUAUUCCUAGGGUUUUGAUAGAAUACUCUAGGAUUGGUUUUGAUCAGAUCCUACGAUGCUAGUGAUGUGCUAAUGGUAAAAAUCUAGGGUUUUAUCGGAGUAUUUUUUCAUUGUUAAAACCUAGGGCACCAGAAUGGGUAUUUGAGAAAUAGUGGGUUUUGAUCUCAAUUCAUUGGUCGUUAACCUAAUUGAUAGGUUUUCCAACGCGUAGGCGAAGACGGUUCGAGGAUCCGUCGAGCGGGUGCGAAGUUAUCGUCAAAAGAGACCCUCGGAGCUUCGUUUCCGCCUAGAAGGCCAACGAGGCGUCGUAAAAUCGGCGAAUUGUUUUCCAAGAGUCGCGACGUCGCCACAAAGUGGGUGGUGACUAUCCCGAAGCAGUUGAAUUGCUCCCUAUGUCUAAGUGUUAUUAUUGAUCGAAUUGCAUAUUGAGCAUGGUCCAUAUAGGGUGUUAGAUGUGAACACUAAUGUUUAUGCUUAUGUAACUUUGAUUGCUUGGCACUAGGGUCUAGUGUGCAUGAGGUCGAGUUGUUGCUUAAUAACCCUAUGAUGAAUAAUGAACAUGCUAUGUGGGAAAGUCUAGUGAUAUAUAGAGUGUGUAAUGCAAAUGGUGAGUAAAUGACGAGUGGCAUCUAUUUAACGUGAAACUAUGACGAGUGGCACCUAGUUAAUGUUGAACACAAGAUCGAGUGGCAAUUAAGAACCUUAGUAUAUUUGAAACACUAGGAGGUUGAGUAUUAAACCUACAUUGGAUUGAUGAAUUGCAACCCUAGAUGGCAGGGUAUCCUCACUAGUUUGAGGAUUGGAUCGUGCUCGUGUAGCCUGUCAUGCUUGUGGUGGUCACUCCACACAAGCCGUGCACUUCGGAGGUUGUCACAGGUAGGACUAACGUACUUGUCCGCAGGCGGUCUCGGGGGUUGGAGCGCUUAAAGUCCCCUCCUUCUCUGAGAUUUGAGACGAGAGUAGAGGCAAGCUUUCGGGUUUGCCGGCUAAUUGGGUGAGCUUAUAAUGAAUGUCAUUAAUGAACAUAGUGGCUUAGUAGCUAGUUCCUUACUAGAAGUUGCGUGCAUACAUGAUACUAGAUUGAGGCAUGGUAGAGUAUUUUCACUUUUGCUUAUCAUUAUUCCAUUGCCUGUAUCGCUUUUCAGUUCAUCUAUACAUAUCUAUCUGCCUAUGCCUGCUUAGACCUAGUGGGGAGAUCGGCGGAGUCGGCGGCCGAACCCACUGGGAACUAUCCGUAGUUCUCACCCCACAUUGUUGCAGGUCCGAGUUCGAGUACUCUCGGCGAGGACCGCGGUAAGCGCGUAGCGCCCUAGAGGUUGUAGCAGUUUACUUUCCUAUUUGCACUAGAGUUACCCUAUACCUAUUUUGAGAGUAGAUGAUGUAUAGGGUGUGAGGUUUUGGAUGACUGUAUAUUUACAUAUUGGAGAGUACAAUGCUGUAUUAAUUGUAAUUAAGUGGAAUGGUUGUAAUAGUUAAGUAUCUCUCUUUAUUCACCUGUAUGGUUGUAUUACUCGUGAUGCUUGCUUUCGAUUGUUUAGCACUGUUUGUGUUUUCGCUAAUUGUUGUAUGGUUGUGUACGUAUUCAAGUUGUUUUUCUGGGAACUUGUUGUACAUGAUUCUAUUGGUCAGCUGCGAACGGACAGGGAAGGUGCUGUCCGUUCGGCGCCUGUCCAUGUGCCUGCACCGGACCAAAUCGGCAGCGGUCGCGGGGCGUGACAAUUACUCGAUAAGUCGAGUUGAGGUGUGAUUGAAGUUUCGAGGACGGAACUCUUUUAAGGAGAGGAGAAUGUAAUGUACCAGAUUGUAAUACUAAAUUAAGUGUAAAUAAAAAUAGUAUGAGAUACUAUUUUUAUUAAACUUAAAGAAGUAAAUUAUGAGUCGGAAGUGACUCGUGCUGAAAUCGGAAUGAAAACAGGAGAUUUAGAAUUUUCUGUGAGAAACGGGACUGGUAUUUUUAGCAGAAAAUGCAUAACGUCAGAAAAUUAUAAAAAUCUGGAAAUAUGUCGGGAUUAUUUUUAUGAGACUAGAUUUAAAGUUUCAUGUCAUUUUAACACCCGUAAAGUGGAAAAUAAAAUUCGACUGCUAUCUGUUAGAGAUUACAGUUCGGUAGAGCUUUCGGUGACAAAAAAUGGUCAAAACUAGAAAGUUAAGAUAUUUUCUUGUUUGUUAAGUAAAACCAAGCCUGAUUGUCAAAUUUGAGAGAAAACGGACAUUCAGAAGGGCUCCGGUGAAGAGGAACAGAUUUUGAGCUGCUAAACUGCUGGGUGAAUAGUGUUUUGAGGGUGUUAAUUAUAAAAGGAGAACUUGUCUUCUUCUUCUCCUUCAACCGAGCACCACCAGCACCUCCAACAUCACACGUUCAUGGAGGAGAGAGAAACCCUCUCUUUCUCUCUCUAAAUAUCUCUCUUAUCUCUCUAGAUCUCUCUCUCAAAUUCGCGGUGUUGGCGGAGAGCGAGUUUGUGAACGCAUUGGAAGCGACGGAUCGAGUCUUCGUGCGCUCGGUUGAGCGGCGUGCUUCCGACUCGGCGUUCAAUAUUUGGUAAGUGUUUAGUGAAAGAUAUGGAUCCCGAGGAUCUAAAAGGUAAGUAACACCUAGAGGGGGGUGAAUAGGUAUAAAAACGGCAAACUCGAAAAUCUCGAUGCAAAUAAAACAAAGUAGCGGAAAAUAAAACAGCACACCGAGAAUUUAACGUGGGAAAACUCCAAUUCGGAGUGAAAAACCCACGGGACCGAUCACACGAAGAAAAUCCACUAAGAAAACUUGAGUACAAGUGAUUUUGACGAAAAUACACGACUCAAUUUACCGAUUUCUUGUUGAUGGUGAUCUUCGCCGGUCCUCGAUUGAUAGGAAUCCACCAACCGACUUCGCUGCAACUCCUCGCAGCGUCAACGCCUCAACUCCUCGAAGCGUCCACCGAAUCCUCGGCUUCACACGAGAUUCACGCGCCGAAUCUCCUUCCGGAGCUUGUAGAAUCGAAGAUUUGUGGUGAUUUAAUCUUUGAAUACCAUAAGCUAUGAGGGUUCGUCUUCUAAUCAAAUAUCAACUUGAUUCUCAGAGAAGAUCUCGAGUAAAAUCAAAGAAUCACGUCGAUUGUUGAUUUUUCGAAACUUGUUAUGUGAAUAGAAUCAUCGAAACGGAAAAACAAGUUUCGAGGGUUUAGAAUCAGUAAAAAUUCAAAGCCUUAAACUUUAAGACGACCCCCAUAGCUUAUUUAUAUGUUUAGAAGACUUAGAAGUAGACUAGGAUUGCAAAAAGUCCUUUUUAAAAACCUGUGUCGUCCUCAGGGACCGGUCCUCUCGAGGAGACCGGUCUGUGAGAGACCGGUCUCUCAAGUGAGGAACCGGUCCCUCGCUGCGUGACCAAAAUCACAACGUUCGGGAACCGGUCUUUCAAGCUUGAGACCGGUCCCUCGCUGCGCGACAGAUUUACCAAGGUUCGGAAACCGGUCUCUCAUCUCAGGGGACCGGUUGCCUCAACAUUCCACGCAGUGAGGACCUUCGGGGACCGGUCUCUCAACUCUGGGACCGGUCCCAGAACACUGAAAAGUUCAGUUUAAGUGUUUUAAAGCAAUCUAAGUCUUCUGAACUUAUUGUAAUUAGAUAAAUUCAUCACAAAUGAUCUAUUCUUCAUACCUGAGGUGCCGAGCUUUCCAAAAUGAGUCUUUGUUCUUUAAAUUGAAUCUUUUCUUCAAACUUCCGCAAUCAACUCUUCAAGACUCCAUUCAACAUUACGAAAUCCGCCAACCUAUAAAAUCCUUAACAAUCUCCCCCUUUGGCGAUUUCGUGACAAAAUAUAUUACAAAGUUCGUACACAACUCAGAAAUAAUAAAAAGAAGAUCAUCGCAAUCACCAAACGAUAAUCUCCUGCAUGAUCGAUCCAAUAAAUAAAAAUUACACUUUUACAACCUUAAUACAGACUCUAUGACUUAAACAUGGAGUCUUGAAGUCUUGAAUAUUCCUGCAAAAACAUUCUUAAAACACAAUCAAGAUUCAAGCAUACUUAUCAUAAAAGAAAAUCAAACAUAAAGUCAAAGCAAUCAAUCAAAGUAACAAGUCAUAGUCAUAGUUCAUAGUCAAGCACCUAAACAACUAUCUAAAUUUACACAACUAAGCUAAAAAAAAAAAAAAGAAUCAAAAGACAUCAUCAUCAUCAUAAGCCAUCAAGUCAAGUCAAAAACCAUCAAGAACCUCAUCAUCUCCCCGUUUUUGUCAGAAAGCGCCAAAAAGACAAAAGAAGAAACCCCGCAACAUCUAAUCUGAAGCAUCCCCUGGGGGUAAAUCUGCUCUGCAACACCCUAACUUGUCAAAAAUCAUAUUGAGUAAUCGCUUCAUCUUGCUCACAUCCUUUCGUAUCGCAGCCUGCUCUGCAGACAAUUUCUGAAGCUCCUCAGAUAAACGUUGUUGCUCACGAUACACAGAGGAAACUGAGAUAUCUUCCUCGGAAAUGUCCAUAGAAGGACGUGAAGAAGUAGCAGUAGCAGGAGGUGGAGCAGCAGGAGGGGAAGAAGCACGCUGAGACGGGGUACGAAGCUGCACCGAGGACUUCACAAAUGUCCUUUCAUUGAUCCGACCCAAACUAUGCUCAUAUGAUGUACAACGAACAUCCACAUCAUGAAGUCGCAGAAUCCGCAUGAUAAUUAAUGGAAAUGGCAACCAUUCAUUUUGUCCAGAAGUUUUGAUGUCCUUCGCCAUUCUCCGCAAGAUCAAAAAUGGGAUAUUCAUGUUGAUAUUUUUUACACUUACAAUAUCAGGCCGAGCCAAUAAAUACAUGUAUAAGAUGCGAUCCCAUCUCAAAAUCUUCGUGUUCGCGAGAGGCAGAAUGUUGUAGCAAACCACGAAGUUCAGAAACCGGUACUCCAUUCUGAAAUCUUUGGACAUAACCAUAAUGCCGUUUGAUUCAGUCCCCGGCAUGCAAAUAGUGUUCACAACACGGUUCCAAUCGCGAAGUGAGUCGAAUCCAGCCUGUAGAUAUUCCACUCCUUCAGUCCUAGCUUCCAUUCCUAGCACAGACGCUAUCGUAUGAGGAGUAAUUGAUAACUCAACACCACGUACGGAAGUGAUGAAUACGUACGGGCCGCCGUCGGAGUCACUCAAGUGACCUGCUCUCAUAUAGAAUUCUCUAAUCAAUUCCAAACAGAACCCAGUUUGUUACGAAAAAUCACAAAUCUGAUGAAGAUUUUCUUUUUCAAAUAAAUCCUGGAAUCCCGGUACACAGCUAACGAUACUGGCAACUCCAACAUCGCGCUCACCAAUACAAUGCUUCGACGAGUACAUUGACCGUCAAGCAGAUGGAACAUCCUGUAGACUGUGACGCGGAGGCUCAGAACCAGGUUCUCGAAUUUCAACACCGCCAGAUUUCCGACGACCGGUAUAUCCAGAUGCCUUUCCUUUUCCUUUAUCCACAGCUUUGCCUUUCCUUUUAUCAAUGGCUUGUCCUUUCCCCUUUCCUUUUCUAGUAUCCUUUUCCUUAGCCAACACCUCUGGAGUAAAAGCCUCCCAGUCCAGUUCGUCCUCAUCAGAUUUAUCACCUGGGGCAUAUUCACUCCCUUCAUCCUCCGGUUGAUACUCAACAGGUCGUUUACCCGAAGAGCGCUGUCGUUUACUACCGCGACCACCCCCAGCCAUUAGGACCACAAGCACAAGUAGCCAAGAGUACAUAUUGAAGAAAUCCCCUGUUAAACAUAAUGAUUUUUAUAUACUGAACAAAAGAACACUUAAUUUUUUUAUUCCAAAAAAAUUUCGGCAAAUUUGAUAUAUAAAUGCUAGAUAAUCCUAGGGGCCACAAACUCAUGAGAAACAUGAACAACUAAAGCAACAAAAAUCAGUAAAACCACAUGAUUCCCAAAAAAUUAAAAAAAAAACAGGCUUUUGAUGAUAAAAACCUACCAAAUUUGACCAAAAAGAUGAAGAAAUACAAGAGAAAAGGAAAAUAACAAGUCUAAGAACAAGAUCGAAACACAAAACUGCAGAUUUAGCUAGAUCUCUAGAAAAACCACCAAUAAAUCUGAAACGAAACACAUUUUCGGAGUAUAUGAUACAAAUGCAACAAAAUCCGAAAAUCAUACCUAAAAUCAGUGCAAAUCUACGAGAGACGUGAGUAAAAACAGAUCUGGAGUCAAGAGAAGUUCAAAAGAAGAAGCAGGGAGAAAAAAAAAGGCAUACAGGACACAUCGAACAAGAAACCCUUUUAUCGGGUCGGGCAGAGGGACCGGUCUCUCCUGCCUGGGACCGGUCCCAGAGCCUGAAAUUUCGAAAAAUUCUAAAAUAAGCCCAAAAAAUUUCAGAAAAAAUAUAAGUUUUUCCACAAUGUGCAAUCAACACAAAUAACCAAUUUCCAUCCACAAAAACUUUAAAUAAAAUUUCAUACAUAAAUUUUGAAAAGUCAAUUUCAAGGAUAUUCAAUUUGGCAAAAUUGUUGACCCGAAAAUCAAUGAUAAUUCUAAAUACAUAUAAAAUAAAAUCUCACACAUCAUGCAAGAUCUAGGAAUUUAUUGUAUUAUUUUAUCAUCAUAUUUGUUAAAGAAAAUGUAUAAAUAAUUCUCAAAUCGUGAAAUCACAAUAAUAUGUUCAAAAAGAGUUAUGCACAAUAUUCAAGACAGGAGCGGCUCUUUGAGCAUCUUUUUUUUAUUAACAUUCCACCUUAUAUCACCUAUGAGAUGUAUAGCUCUUUGAGCAUUUUUUUUUUAAUCUCUGAAAGGUACUUUCCUUUUGUUUUAUAGAGAUACUUUAAUCAACAUGUGGUAGCUGCACACACUGACCGGACGACCGGGGUGGUAGCUCUUUCCUCCAUGUGGUGGUAGUUUUCACACUCCCAGUAGGGAUGUAACUCUUUCCACAUCUUGAAUAUCAGAAACUUUCAUAACCAAAAUUGGAAAGACUCCCCCUAAAUUAGUGCAACCCUCAAGUCAAAAAUAUUAUUUCAAUUUCAAAAACAGAGAAAGUUAUUCAUCUCAAAACUCAUAAUCAAGCAAACAAUAGCAACAUUCAAAGUUCGAAGCAUGAGGUGUUGAAUUUGAUUCAGUAUGCAAAACAGAAUCUCAAUGAUUUGAUCGUUCAACAAUUGUGACAAUAUAGAACAAUCUUCACAGUGAUCAAUCAAAAAUUAAAUAUGAAAUAAUUAAAGUUACGAACCGAUUCAUCUCCCAAAAGUAGCAACAUUAAUCAAGAAAUUCAAUCAUCUCUCAAGCACAAUCAGGAAAUACCAGAAACCAUUCACAAAAAUAAGAUGCAACAUGCACAUGAUCUAUGGCCCAAUAGAAUAUAUCUAGAUUGAAGGAUUCAUACCAAUCGCUUUUCUUAAAUGCAGAAAACGUUUUUGACCCAAAGGUUUGGUUAAAAUAUCUGCAAGUUGACUUUCAGUCGAAAUAUAUUCAAGUUGUAGGAUGUUUGAUUCAACCAGUUCUCUUAAAAAGUGAUAUCUUAGUUCAAUAUGUUUUGUUCGUGAAUGUAAAACAGGGUUUUUAGAAAUAUUAAUUGCACUUGUGUUGUCACAAAGAAUAGUAAGAGUGGUGGAAGGGAUUCGAUAGUCGCUCAGUAAACUCUUCAUCCAGAUCAAUUGUGUAGAGCAACUCCCGGCCGCAAUGUAUUCAGCUUCUGCAGUUGAAAGAGCAAUACAGUUUUGCUUCUUACUGUGCCAAGCAACCAGACAGUGUCCAAUGUAAAAACAAGCUCCACUAGUACUUUUUCGAUCAUCUGCAGAUCCUGCCCAGACAGCAUCUGAGUAGUCGAUUAGAUCAAGAGAUGUUCCCAUAGGAUACCAAAGUCCAUACACGGUUGUACCCUUAACGUACCGAAUGAUCCUUUUAACCGCUUUCAGAUGGACUUCCUUAGGAUUAGCUUGAUAGCGAGCAUACAUUCCAACACUAAAAGCAAUAUCUGGCCUGCUCGCAGUCAAGUACAAUAGGCUCCCAAUCAUGCUUCUGUAUUGUUUCUCAUCCACGCUCUGUCCUUCCAAACUCAACCCAAGUCCUUUGUUGCUUGUACCCAUUGGAGUGUCAAAAUCCUUUGCACUAUCCAAUCCAAAUUUCUUAACCAAAUCUUUCGCAUAUUUGGAUUGACACAAGUGAAUUCCAUCUUUAGUUUGUUUGACUUGAAGUCCAAGGAAAUAAUUAAGCUCCCCCAUCAUUGACAUCUCAAAUUCGCUUGUCAUCAAUUUGGCAAAAUCAUUUGCAUAUUUAUCUUUAGUUGCCCCAAAGACUAUGUCAUCAACAUAUAUUUGUGCCACAAUGAAAUCAUUCUUGAAGUGUUUUACAAAGAGAGUUCUAUCCGCUCCCCCUCGGUUAUAGCCCUUUUCCAAAAGAUAUUUUGUCAAGCGUUUGUACCAUGCUCGCGGAGUCUGUUUUAGUCCAUAAAGUGCAUUUUUCAGUCGAAAAACGUGAUUUGGAAAUUUUGAGUCUAUAAAACCUUUCGGUUGUUCAACAUAAACUUCCUCUUUUAAAAAUCCAUUUAGAAAAGCACUUUUAACAUUCAUUUGAAAAAGAGUGAUUUUAAAAUGGCAGGCAAUUGCCAACAAAAUACGACUAGAUUCAAGACGGGCAACCGGAGGGAAGGUUUCAUCAAAGUCUAUUCCCUCAAUUUGUGAGUACCCCUGAGCAACAAGUCUCGCUUUGUUCCGAAUAAUAGUACCAUCCUCAUUUUUCUUAUUCUUAAAGAUCCAUUUGGUAUCUAUGAUGUGUUGUUGCUCAGGACGAGGCACUAAUUCUCAUACAUCAUUGCGAACGAAUUGACCAAGUUCUUCUUGCAUUGCAUUUAUCCAAUAUUCAUCACGUAAAGCUUCGUCAAUAUUCUUUGGCUCAAUCAAGGAUACAUAGCAUGCAAAUUCACAUUGUAGUUGAUUUCUUGUUCGCACACCAACAUUAGGGUCCCCAAUUACAUUCGAUAAAGGAUGAUCUCUUGACUCUGUCAGGGGUGUAGUCUUAGGAGAUAUGCUUGGGAUUUCAGAUGAGGUGUUUUGAGGCUCAGAUGAAUCAUUUGAAGCAACAUUUUCAGAAGAUGCAAUGAAAUUGUCAAGUGCAGAAACAUCAUCAUUCACAGGCAAUACAAACGGAGAAUCAUUAUCAUCAUCAUUCACCAAAGAAGUAGAAGAACCAUUCACAGAAGAACUUACAGAAGAAGCUUAAUCUACUUUUAUAUUGAUAGAUUCUAUCACCGUCUUAGAUCGUAAAUUGUAUGCGCGAUAAGCACGACUUGUAGUAGAAUAACCCAGAAAAAUUCCUUCGUCACUUCGAGAGUCAAAUUUUCCAAGAUUUUCACGAUCCCGAAGGAUAAAACAUUUACUCCCGAAAACACGAAAGUAUUUAAUAUUAGGUUUCCUACCAAGCCAAAGUUCAUACGGAGUAUUCAAAGUACCCGGGCGCACAUAAAUCCGAUUGAUAACAUAGACAGCCGUGUUCACUGCUUCGGCCCAAAAGUGUAAAGCAAUUUUCUUACUAUGAUGCAUAACACGAGCCAUCUCCUGUACAACCCGAUUCUUCCGUUCAACCACUCCGUUUUGUUGGGGUGUAUAGGGGGCUGAGAAUUCAUGUUUUAUACCAUUUGAAACACAGAAAUCAACAAAUUUUGAAUUUAUGAAUUCUCCCCCUUGAAUCACUUCGAAUACGUAUAAUUUUAUCAUUCCGUUCAGUCAUAAGACGAAGACAGAUUUCAGAAAAAGAAUCAAAAGUAUUAGCUUUUUCUCGUAAGAAGGCAAUUCAAGCAAAGCGAGUAAAAUCAUUAACAAUGAGCAAAAUAUAACGUUUUCCACCCAAACUUUGAAUCCUAGAUGGUCCCAUCAAAUCCAUGUGAAGUAAUUCUAAAGGUUUAGAUGUCCCUAAGUGGUUCAAAUUCUUAUGUGCGGACCUAGUUUGUUUCCCCAAUUGACAACCUCCACACACAAUGCUCUCUUUGAAGUCAAUCUUAGAUACACCUCUGACAACCUCCUUCUUAGUUAUCUUGGAUAGCUCCUUAAAGUUUAUGUGACCUAGUCGUUCAUGCCAUAAAGUCUCAGUUUCUAAAGACGCCAGAUUACAAUGUUCAGUCGAAGAACUAGGAACCACAUAACAGUUAUUUUGAGAUCUAAUGCCCUUUAAGAAAAGAUUGUCAUCACGAGUCAUAUGGCAUUCUUUAUCGGAAAAAUUCACAGAAUACCCAUCAUCACACAGUUGGCUUAUGCUUACAAGAUUAGAUUUCAGCCCCUCAACAUAGAAAACAUCAUUCAAAGUAGGGCCAUAUGAGAUAGUCACUAUUCCUUUUCCAACAAUUUUUGAUGACCGACCGUCUCCAAAAACAACAAGUCCUCCAGAGAUUUUGUUCAAUGAAGUAAACCAAUUUUUAUCUCCGGUCAUGUGGCGGGAACAACCACUAUCCAGAUACCAUGAAGUAUUAUCGUAAGUAUGAAGCGAAGUGUGAAUGACUAGGCAUGGGAAGAGUUCACCUUUGCGCACCCAAACCUUACGUGUUUUGGGUUGCGUCGAUUCACUUGCUUUUGGUGCUCGUGGCUUGUCGACGAUUUGAAUUGGCUUCCUCUUCAUAUCCUCCUUUUUUGGUUUCCAUGCUUAUUUUGCCUUUGGCUUCGGUGUAUUUGGUGUCCAAGUUUGUCUCUUCUUAUGAUCUGCCUUCUUUGGAGUCACAGUUGACUUCGUUGUCGUUUUAGGAUCACUCUUCAUGGGUGCUAUUGAGCUCUUUCCCUUUUGGUAGCAAAAUUUCUUUAUGUGUCCUAAAUCACCACAAAUAUGACAAGUUUUGUUAGCCAAAUUAUUUUUAGGAGAGACGAACUUACCAUAAAGUUUAGGAACAGCAGUUGGCGAAUUUCCAUCAUCUUUCUUCGUUGCUUGAUCAAUAUAUGUCCGUUCAUAACCAAGUCCAAGUUUAUUUGUUUGACCAAGUCCAAGCAUCUUGUCUAAUUUGCUCGAGCCAGACGAAAAUUGGUUCAAAUCCGACUUCAGUUGAAUGAUCGUCUUGGUGAAUUCCAUAUUUGCUUCUCUAGCUUCUGAGUAUUGCUUGGUGAGAAAAUUGAUGUUCUCCACCUGAGUCUCUUUUUCCUUUUCAAGUAACGAACACUUCUCAAGUAAAGAGUUGUAAGCCUUGGUCAAACCAUCUCUUUCUUGCUCUAGAUCCUUUGUUAGUGAGGCCAAUUUUGAAUUUUCUUGUUCCAACUCAUGUAGACUUCGCCGCAGUCUCUUGUUAUGUUUAGCCACCUUCUUUGAUUCAACAACCAAUUGUUGAUAUGCUGCGAUCAUGUCAUCUUCGUCCGAUUCUUCAUCUGAUGAGUUCUCCGAAGAUGACUUCUCAUGUAUAGAUGACAUAGAGAUAGAGUCAGCAAAUGCUAAACACAUGAAAGUUGAAUCCUGUGUAAUCAGUGUCGUGGCAUUUACAUCCUCUUCACUCGAAGUGGAAUCGUCAGAUGAGGAGUUGUCACGCCCGGGUAUCAACGGAAGCAUAUCCGGUCGCGUGCACAGACCCGCCGUAUACACCACAACUCAAGUAUACACAAGGCGUCUACAAACCAUAUAGUAAAAGCAUAUAAAUCUAACCAGGUAAUCAGAGCACGACUUAAGUUUAAACUUAUACAAUCCAAACUUUAAUACAAGACAUAAGAAUAACGUACAAUUAAUAAAAACUUAAUAUACAUCUAUGUACUAAACUAUAUAAACUGCUGGAGGUGAUCUAGUACACGUCCAAAAAGCCGCCGACCCCUCACCAGGAACCCUAGCCUUUCCCGCUGUGGAAGGCUCUGUAAAAACAACAACAAAGAGGGNUAAAAGAUUCAUGUUCUUCCAUACGAAUGGAAUCAAAUCUACUAGUAAGCAUUUGCAAUUUUUGAAUCUUAACCAAGCUUGUACCCUCGUGUGUAACUCGUAAAGUGUCCCAAAUCUCUUUGACGGUUUCGCACGCCGAGACGCGAGAAAAUUCAGUUUGAUUUAAAGCAUUGAAUAAAGCAUCGAUACCUUUCCCGUUGAACGAAGAUAGUUCAUUUUCCUCUUUCGUCCAUUUAUUUCUAGGUUUCGUACCGGUAACAUUCUCGACAACUUCGGUAGGAUGUUUCCACCCGAAUUCAAUGGCUUGCCAUACCCGCUCGUCGAUAGCAAUAAGAAACGCCCUCAUACGGACUUUCCAAUAAGCGUAAUUAGUGCCAUCGAAGAGUGGGGGUCGAUUGAUGUUACCACCCUCGGCCAUGUAUUACAACCUAUACCCGCUCUGAUACCACUUGAAAGAUAUGGAUUCCGAGGAUCUAAAAGGUAAGUAACACCUAAAGUGGGGUGAAUAGGUGUAAAAACGGCAAACUCGAAAAUCUCGAUGCAAAUAAAACAAAGUAGCGAAAAAUAAACAGCACACCGAGAAUUUAACGUGGGAAAACUCCAAUUCGGAGUGAAAAACCCACAGGACCGAUCACACGAAGAAAAUUCACUAAGAAAACUUGAGUACAAGUGAUUUUGACGAAAAUACACGACUCAAUUUACCGAUUUCUUGUUGAUGGUGAUCUUCGCCGGUCCUCGAUUGAUAGGAAUCCACCAACCGACUUCGCUGCAACUCCUCGCAGCGUCAACGCCUCAACUCCUCGAAGCGUCCACCGAAUCCUCGGCUUCACGCGAGAUCCACGCGCCGAACCUCCUUCCGGAGCUUGUAGAAUCGAAGAUUUGUGGUGAUUUAAUCUUUGAAUACCAUAAGCUAUGAGGGUUCGUCUUCUAAUCAAAUAUCAACUUGAUUCUCAGAGAAGAUCUCGAGUAAAAUCAAAGAAUCACGUUGAUUGUUGAUUUUUCGAAACUUGUUAUGUGAAUAGAAUCAUCGAAACGGAAAAACAAGUUUCUAGGGUUUAGAAUCAGUAAAAAUUCAAAGCCUUAAACUUUAAGACGACCCCCAUAGCUUAUUUAUAUGUUUAGAAGACUUAGAAGUAGACUAGGAUUGCAAAAAGUCCUUUUUAAAAACCUGUGUCGUCCUCAGGGACCGAUCCUCUCGAGGAGACCAGUCUGUGAGAGACCGGUCUCUCAAGUGAGGAACCGGUCCCUCGCUGCGUGACGAAAAUCACAACGUUUGGGAACCGGUCUCUCAAGCUUGAGACCGGUCCUUCGCUGCGCGACAGAUUUACCAAGGUUCGGGAACCGGUCUCUCAUCUCAGGGGACCGGUUGCAUCAAAGCUCACGCAGUGAGGACCUUAGGGGAAUCGGUCUCUUAAACUCAGGGACCGGUCCCUGAACACAGAAAAGUUCAGUAAAAUAUUUUUAAAGCAAUCUAAGCCUUCUGAACUUAUUCUAAUUAAGUAUCUUCACCACAAAUGAUCUUUUCCUUAUACCUUAGGUGCCGAACUUUACGAGUGAGUCUUUGUUCUUCAAUUUAGAUCUUUUCUUCAAUCUUCCGCAAUCAACUCUUCAAGACUCCAUUUAACAUUACGAAAUCCGCCAACCUAUAAAAUUCUUAACAUUUAGGAUUUGGCUAAUUCCUUUAUACUUAGUGUUCUAAUAGCCUCUAAUGUGAUGUUAGCAUGUUUUCUCCAUUUAAUUUGGAUUAUUUGGAGUGUAUGUACAUGCUAGGGUUUGGAAUUGGGGUUUUAGCAAAUGAGGGUUUUGAUCUAAUUAAACCCUACUGUUCUCUAAUUGAAGGUUAGAGGCGAGCCAUUGAUUACCCUAGGUUGCGGAUUAGCGGGCGUUCGGUUGCCGAUUGCGAGGUCGGGCUAAACCGGGUAUCGUGUGCCGCGGGAGCCCGAUUGCAAAUGUCGACAAGCAAUCGGAGAGCGUUGCGAGGUGGGUUGCGCUCACCGAAAUAUUUAGCUCGCUUCUAUGUCAAAGCGAAGUGAUGUUUAUUAUUGAUGCAUAUAAUGGUAGUUAAGUGCUAGAUGAAUCUAUGUGAUACAUGCUAGAUUAAUGUAUAAGAUAAAUGUUAAGUAAUGACUACCAUUGGAUGAUGAAAAUAUGUGCAUGUUGACAUAUGUUGGGACUAUGCUAGAUGCUAUAUAUGUAUGCAUGUUGAUAUAUCAUGAGAUGCUAGACGAUAUAUAUAUGUAUGUUAAUAUAUUUUGAGAUGCUAGAUGAUAAAUAUGCAUGUUGACAUAUAUGGAUUAUGUUAGAAGAACUAUGCAUGUUGACAUAUAUGGAUUAUGUUAGAAGAACUAUGCAUAUUGAACUUGGGUCGAUAACUCUAGGUUGAUUAGAGAGUUCGACAUUGGAAAAUAAGAACAUGAAAACUAUGAUACUCGAUGUGGACUAGUAGAUUGUCAAGUAGAUCGAGUGGCAUUUGGACCAGUGUAGUAGAAACACUAUGACAUGUUUUGGAACUCGUGUAGUAGAGACGCUUGUGACAUGAGUAUAGGGAUUAGUGGAUUUCCCGUGUUAUUGUUGUCCCUAGUAGGCAGGGUAUCCUCGAGUGUGAGGAUUGGAUCAUACUCACUUAGUCUGUUUUUAUUUGGCGUGGUCGCUUCACCUAAGCAGUGAUCUUUGGGGUACUUCAUGAUAGGGGCAGACGUAGUUGUCCCGCAGACGGUCUCGGUGUGCGAGUGCAGUUUCUUCUCACUUAUGAGAUUUUCAGAGUGAGUCGGGGCUUAACCUUUUGGUUAGCCGGUGAGAUUGGGUGACAUUCUUGUGAGCUAUGGAUGAAUCCCAGCAGAGUGGAUUGGCAUCCUAGUUGGCAUCCCAGUUGAGUGGAUUUUAUGCUGAGGUGCAUGUGAGACGUCCUUCAUCUCGAGCCUGGCUUUACGCGGUACGCCGUGGAUGAUUGACUCAAAGUCGAGUCGAGUGGAUAGCUUUGGAAAGGUAGAUGAAACCUUAUGAGAAGAAUUGUAAUUGACAUGAAUCUAAGAUAGAGGAAAACUUAGAUGUCAUGUAGAUAAGCUAUGGAUAGCGAGUAGAAUUAGUAGAUCUACUUACCUCAUUGCAUAUUGAGUUGCAUGAUUUGCAUUGUUGCAUGUUGCGAGGCAUGAACAUGAUAAAUAUUAGUUGCAUAAAAUAUUUGAUGAUAUAUAUAUAUAUCUCUCUCUCUGUGGAUACUUGUUGGACUAACAUAUUGCAGUGCCUCCUUCGGACCUGGUGGGUUGAGCUUUUCUCUUGGGUGGCCAUACCCACUGGAAACUAUGGACAAUAGUUCUCACCCUCGUGUUGUUUUUGGGGGCACAGGUUCAGACGUGAGCGGCGCGGCGGCGCGAGGACAGGGCGUAGCUUCGUAGAUAGCGCCCUACCACAGAGACCAGAGAUAGCAUUACCCCGAGUCGGCCUAGCUAGGUGUUGUAGAAAAGAAGAAUGCAAUAUUGUAAUACUAUUGAUUGUAUUUGAAAGAAAAGAAAACGAAAAUGUAAUAUGUAAAAAGCAUGUGAUGUGAAUGCUUGUAAUAGCUUAGUUGUUUAUGUUGUUUGAUACCUUCCUUAUGCAAUCGUUGUAUGAAUACUGUUCUUGUUUGGAACCUUUUGUAUUGUACUGUUUGCGAUGCCUAGGACGUACAGGGGAAACUCUGUCCGUUUGGCGGUCUGUUGACGACCCGAAUCCGACCAAAUAGGCGGGUCACGGGGCAUGACAGACUCAAUUAGAGUUAUUGACGUUUGGAGGAUAUAUAUGUAAUUCUCCCAUCUCUCUAUAUGGGAACUUAGGGUUUUCUCUUUAUUAACCAUAACCCUAACUCCUCUCUCACCUUCCCCAAGCCCUAGCCGCCUCCUCUUUCUCCUUUGACUGUGCCGUGCAUAUCCCCAACUGUUAGCGAUCCCAGUCCAACUGGCCAAACUGCUGCCAACCAUCUCCCCCCUCUCUCUCUCUCAAGCUUUUCCCUCACCCACUUCGUUAUUUCCUUUGGAAACAAGGCAUCCUCGGGGGCCGCAUUCUGUGGACAUCAUCUUCGACAUCCCAGGGCUUCGACUGUCAUGCCCCGUGACUGCCAAUUUGGCCUGUUCGGGCACGUCCACAGACACCGAACGGACAGGAUCUCCCUUGUCCCCCCAAGGCUCAAUAACAACCACAUGUAUAGCCAUUUCAUACAUAGAAAAUUUUGGUAUACACAGCUUGCUCGAGGGCAAGCAACAACAACUAAAGUGAAAGUAAGCUAACUACCAUUACAACAUCUAUUGUACUUUGCAAGAUUGAAACAAAAUACAAAGUUUGAUACUUCAUUACAUCCAGAUUCCAAAUUAAAUCAUAUGUUCUUCAAAUACAUACAUCAUUCUUUCUAUAUAGUUCAUUCAUCAAGUACAAAAGAUGAAUCUCAAAAGUGUACAAUACUAAACUUGACGGAGGCCCGCUAUCUAGGGCGCAAUACCCUUGCCCCGAUCCUCGAUCGCCCCGCUCGCGCUAGGAUAUGCAAGGUUAGUGGUGUGAGAACUAAUGAAAGUUUUCAGUGGAUUUGGCUCCCGACCUCGCCGACUCACCUACUAGGUCUGCUCAGGCAUAUGUAAGAAAGAAAAGAGAUAUAGUAACCAGAACUAAUGCUACUACAAUAGCCGUACAAAACUGGAAAGAGAUUCUAUACUCAUGAUGCAUGUAUGCUCUUUUACCUUUACCUAAUCCACUUGUUUAAUCCUUUAGUUAAACCUCAACUCACCAAAUCAAAUCCCUUUUGUCGAGGAGAAUACCGCUACAACCUGACGGGACCGUCUGCUGGGGAGAAUUCCACUACCAACCCAGUUGAUGACACUUCAGAGCUCACCGCCCAAGGUGGAGCGACCUACCUCGAGCAUUCAGACUACCUGUCAGUACGAUCCAAUCCUCACUUGAAGGAUAUCAUGCCACAAUCUUAACAAGCUCUUUAUUCUAUGUUUAGCAUUUCCAAUUCUAGAUACUAACCAAUUCAUCUCAUUAUAAUGCCACAAGUUCAUUUUCCUUGUCUAGCAUUUCCCAAUACUAGGUGCUACUAAUGCCGUCUAGUCACAAUGUCACUUGUUCACUAGUGUCAUAGUUCAAUGCUUCAUACAUCUAUAGGGUUUCUAUGUUCAUCAUUUAUAGUUCACAUGUUCUUUGCUUCCAAAGCAUACAAGAUUGCACCAUUACCACAUAUAUCACAUUUAUCCUAUAAUGCAUGAAUCUACUAUGCUCAUACAAUAUGCUUAAGAAGUAACUAGACAUAACGGGUCAUUCGAAGACUUCGGAUAGCACCACCCACCUUAUAAUGAUGCCGGAGUGCGAGAAAACCACUUCUCGCGAUUUAUUGUCAAACAUUCCUCUCGCCCCACGACAAACGAAGCCGAAACGAGGCUUUUCCUCAAUAACUUGGUGUAGACUCGUCGGAAUCUCGAUCCGAGCCUCCCAACGCAUCGGUUUAUACUCCAAUUAGGGCUAUAAGAGAUCAAACCUAACUUAGAUCUCAUAGAUUACAAAAUCUCAUUUUUUCCCUUAGGGUUCAUACAAGACACCCAAUAUAAUCUAAGUUUGUAUGAUUUCAUAGCAUAAUCAAGCUCUAGAAAUCCUAAAGACUACAAAACCUAACCAUUUAGGGUAUAAAACCAAACCCUAAUCAAAAAGUUGCAAGAAACCUAUCUCAGGUUCUUGCUCCAAGAAGUCCUUCUUUUCCAAGAGCCUCUACUUCACCAAAAUUUCCAAACUCUAACUUCAAUUCUCUUUCAAUUCCACCAUGGAGUAGAGUUCUCUAGAAAGAGAAGGAGAAGGAGAUGAGGUUUGGAGGAGAAAACGAAGCACUUUCUGCAUCAGAAGUAUAGGUGUAGAGGUGGGGUAUUUAUAUAGGCCUGCACAAUUGCAAUUAAGCCCCCCAAAUAAACCCCCAUCAACCAUUACAAACAGGUCCUUCCCAGUCUGGGUACUGGUACUCGUGUUGUAGUACCGAUACCAAAGACUUCUAAUACCAGUACCCGACAGCAAUACCGGUACCAACCCUCCAACCCGAAGCUACGAAAUUCCUGCACCCUUCGCAGUAUCGGUACACAAGAACAGUACCGGUACACAGGACCUGUAUCGGUACACAGCCUCGUACGGUUCGGAUCCCGAGAGCUGUAUCAACACACACUGGCUGGGUACAGGUACUACAUCACUUUGUUACCGGUACCAAGUGCAAAUUCUGCACUUUAACAGCAGAAUUGCUAUGGGAAUUCAUUUUCGCGCCCGGUUUGCACCGAAAACCCCUAAACAACUUCGGAACUCAUUUCUAACCAUCCCUACGCCUCAGAAAUGACUCGGGGAUGCCGCAAUUCAUACUCUUGCUUCACUUUGAUCAAUGCGAUUAAAGUUAGCAUCGUAACAUGGCGAUUCAGUAUAGUACAAUCUCCCCCCUUAACAAAAGUUUCGUCUACGAAACUUAAACGCAUACCUUAGCUCAUCUACUCAAAUUGAUGAGGAUAGGACUCCUGCAUCGACUCUUCGCAUUCCUAAGUGGCCUCGCGUACAGGAUGGUUGUUCCAUUGCACUUUUAGAUAAGGAAUGGUACGAUUCUGCAACCCCCUGACCUUGCGAGCCAAGAUGCACACUGGGUACUCAAUAUACGUCAUAUCGUCCUACAACUCCACCGGAUCAAACUCCACAAUGUGCGAAGAGUUAUGCAUGUACUUGCGGAGAUUAGAGAUGUGGAAUACAUUAUGCACUCCCUCAAACCUUGGCGGCAAAGCUAUCUUGUAAGCCACCGAAUUCACUCUCUCCAAAAUCUCGAAAGGACCAACAUAUUGAGGACUUCGUUUUCCUCGAACCCCAAAUCGCUUAACACCUCGCAUCGGAGAUACCUUCAGGAAAACGCGAUCUCCAACCGCGAAUUCUAGAUUCUUCCGGUGUUUAUUAGCAUAACUCCGUUGCCUCGAUUGCGUCGUCAGUAAUCUCUGGCGAGCAAGGCGAACUUUCUCUUCCGUCUUUUGCAACAUGUCAGGACCAAGGGCGAUCCUCUUACCUACAUCACUCCAAUGAAUAGAAGAUCGGCACUUUCUCUCGUAAAGAGCCUCAAAUGGUACCAUCGCAAUACUUUCUUGAUAACUAUUUGUAAGUUUAGAGGAGCCCUAGGAUCUAUCUAGAUUGUAUCAAACACCUAGAGGGGGUGAAUAGGUGUAACGGCCAAAAAUCACAAAUCUCAAUGCGAUAAAAAUAAACGCGGAAAAUAAAAAUCACACUGAGAUUUAUGUGAGAAAACUUCAACUUGGAGAAAAAACCCACGGGACCAACACGCGAAAAAAAAAAUUCACUGAGAGAAAAGAUUAUAAGGUGAUUACCGACUCCACGGACUCGACCUCUCUUAACUUCCUAUGAAUCUCGCGCAAUCCUCCGGGUUGUCCAUGCUCUCACGUUCGAAUCCACAAACGCCUAGCACACGUCCGAAUCCACGAACGCCACUUGAAUCCACGAUCCCACGAUCCGAAUCCUCGAACCGCCUUGAUCACGUCGAAUCCACGACGCCGUCCAUGAAAAACAUCAUGCUAUGGUGAUCCUUUGCUUAGAGUAUCGAUGAAAACCAGAGAAGAAAACUCCAAGCGAAGAGUAGAUCAAAUCGACAUAUAGAUAUCAAAUUAUAAUAUCUCGAUUUGACCUAGAAGAGGCUUCUUUGUAAAAAAUAGGUUUUGGACGAAAAACUAGCCUCUAGGGUUUCUCAAACAUGAAUUCUCGUGAUGCUUCAUGAGUUAGAGAACCCUAAUACCUUAUUUAUAGACUUUAGAAUCAAUUGGAGUCGGAUUAGAAAGUUUUCGGAUUUUUCACAUUGUGUACCGGUACAAAAUUGAGGUGUUACCGGUUACACGAUGACGGAAUAGAAAACCGUAAAGACUUGAAACCGGUUACAAGUUGAUUGUUGUACCGGAGCAAGUUUGUACCGGUACACUUUCAAUGUUGUACCGGUACACAAUGCAUUUUUCAGAUUUUGCACUGUUUCGCGUUUCACGAAGCUCCGAAGCACUUUCUAAUCCACUAAACUUUGAUUUUAAUGAUUCUAAUGCCUAUAACUAAGUGUGAAUCACCAUAACAUGAAAUAAAACUUACCCGAGUAUCGUGAUUCACAUCGUGAGUUAUUUCUGCAUUCUUCGAAAUCUUGGAUUCUUCGAUCUUCGACGAUAUGCUCCGAACCCUUCAAGACUCCGACUCAAUUCACGAAACUUGCCAAUACAAAAAUACUUAACACUAUUAUUGUAUGCGAAUUCGGCCAUCGACAAAUGAUCGUGCCAACUACCCUUGUAGUUGAGUACACACGCCGAAAGCAUAUCCUUCAAAAUUUGGAUUGUCCUUUUCGACUGCCCACCACUUUGAGGAUGAAAUGCCGUACUAAAGUCGAGCCGUGUGCCAAGAGCAUCUUGUAAACUCUUCCAAAAAUAGGAGGUAAAUCGAGGAUCUCAAUCUGAUACUAUCGAUAUCGGAACCCCAUGCAAUCUCAUAACCUCAUCGAGAUAGACUUGUGCUAAUUUAUCCCUGGACCAAAUGGUGUGAAUUGGCAAGAAAUGUGCCGACUUCGUCAAACAAUCCACCACAACCCAUAUGGCAUCAUGUUCGGCUUGCGAUCGGGGUAAACCCACCACAAAGUCCAUUGCCACAUCUUCUUACUUCAGGUAGGCUUUGCAACUUACCCACUGGAAAUCGGCUCUGCGCCUUAACUUGCUGGCAUGUCAAACACUGCGCCACAAACUCCUCAAUAUCUUUCUUUAUCCCGGGCCACCAAUAAUGCACUUUAAGAUCUUUGUACAUUUUGAUGCCACCCGGAUGUACACUAUAUGGAGAUUGGUGCGCUUCCUAUAAUAUUGCCUUCUGCACUUCUUCGUCCUUUGGCACACACCAACGGUUCCGAAACCGAAAUGCACUAUCGGACCCAAUAUAGAAUUCACCGGCAUGUCCGCUCUCAAUAUCACGCUGCACCUUUUGGAGAUACGGAUCCAAAGCUUGUUGAUAUUUAAUCUUCUCCAACAAGGUCGGUUGAACAACUAACGAAGCAAGAAUAGCCGGAACUUCUAGAGCUACUACUUCCAGAUCAAACCGCCGCAUUUCAUUCAACAACGACGGUUGAAGUGUAAUAACCAUAGCAAGAUUUUUCACCGACUUUCUACUAAGUGCGUCGGCCACAACAUUGACUUUCCCCAGAUGGUAAAGAAUAGUGGCAUCAUAAUCGUUCAAUAAUUCUAACCACUGGCGUUGCCGCAUAUUCAACUCCUUUUGAGUGAACAAAUACUUGAGGCUUUUAUGAUCUGUAUAAAUCUCAUAUUGCUCACUAUAUAAAUAGUGUCUCCACAGCUUCAACACGAAAACUACCGCGGCUAACUCAAGGUCAUGAAUAGGAUAGUUCUUCUUAUAGCUCUUCAACUGCGAGAAGCAUAAGCAAUAACCCGUCUACAUUGUAUAAGAACACACCCAAGACCACUAUAGGAAGUAUCACUAUACACCACAAAACUCUCCCCCGGAAUUGGCAAGGCGAGUAUCGGAGUCGAAGUUAAUCUUUCCUUCAGCUCCCGAAAGCUUUUGUCACAUUCAUCGCUCCAAAUAAACUUCGCUCCCUUGUGGGUGAGGCACGUUCGUGGAGUGGUAAUUUUAGCAAAUCCCUCAACAAACCGCCGAUAAUAAUCCGCAAGACCAAGAAAACUGCGGAUCUCCGCAACAGUCGUCGGGUAAGGCCAAUCUUUAAUUGCCUCCACUUUUCUUGGGUCAACAGAAACUCCACCCUCGAAAAUAACAUGACCUAAAAAGGCGACCUUACGGAGCCAAAAGUCGCACUUCUUCAACUUCGCAUAAAGUUUCUUUUCUCGGAGAAUUUACAACACAGUUCUCAAAUGCUCCUCGUGCUCCUUAUCGCUUUGAGAAUAGAUCAACAUGUCGUCUAUUAACACCAUGACACAUCGAUCCAACAACAGCUUGACCACCCGAUUCAUCAGGUCCAUAAAUGCAGCAGGGGCAUUAGUAAGCCCAAACGGCAUCACUGUGAAUUCAUGAUGACCAUAACGGGUUCGAAACGCCAUUUUGUGAACAUCCUCCGGCUUGAUCUUCAAUUGGUGAUAACCCGACUAGAGAUCAAUCUUCGAAUAUACCCGAGACCCUUGCAAUUGGUCGAAUAGAUCAUCAAUCCAAGGUAACGGGUACUUAUUCUUAAUCACCACCUUAUUCAACUCAUGGUAAUCGACGCAAAGCGUCCCAUAUUUCUUUUUCACAAAUAGCACCGGAGCGCCCCAAGGCGACAAACUAGGCUUCACAAAGCUCUUGUCCAGGAGAUCUUGUAAUUGAGCUUUUAACUCCUUUAACUCCGCCGGUGCCAUUCGAUACGGAGCCUUCAAAAUUGGUGCCGUCCCGGGAACCAAGUGAAUGACGGACUCGAUUUCUCGGUCCGGUGGCAAUCCCGGCAACUCCGCGAGGAACACAUUUGGAAACUCACGAACAACCGGAAUAUCUCCAAGAGCCGGAAGUUCUUGUUGAGUCUCUACCACCGUCACCAAAUUGGCUACACAUCCACUAUUGAUCAACUUUCUUGCUCUCGACGCUGACACCGUCAUAGCAAAGAGCGAGCUUUUACACGCACGAUAUACUACCUCCUCUUGACCCGGCUCACGAAAAAUAAUUACUUUGCUUUCACAAUCAAUUACAGCAUAAUAUUUUGAGAGCCAGUCAAUCGCAAGGAUUAUGUCGAAGCCUUUCAUACGGCUAAACACAAACAAAUCCGCCGGCAUAAUCUAAUCGCCAAUUUGCACUGGACAAGCCGCACACUUCUCCUUAACACUAAAAGUGUGCUCAAGUGCAUACACCCACCAAGCAUCCGCACUCUCUGAAAUCUCGAUACCAUGAGUCUUAGCAAACGACAUACUAAUAAAUGAGUUUGAUGCACCAGUGUCGAAUAAUGCUCUAGCUCGAGUUUCAUUAAUUAAAACAAUACCUGCCACGGCAUUGUUGGCUACGGCAGGCUCCUCCGUCUGAGCAGCAAAAACUCGAUCCCUCGGCGUUGCUCGAGAUCCCUCUGACUAACGCGGCAAGGGUGGGCGUCCAGCUAACAUAGCGGGUGGCAAUCCUGCAAGCUGUCUCGGAGACUGAAUUGAUCGAGCUGACGGGGCCGGUGAUGCUCCACUUUGGCACUCUCGACUCAGGUGUCCAGCCUGGCCACACCUGUAGUACCUCCCCUCAUGCUGCGAACAACUCGUCGGUCGAUGGUCUCCACCGCAGAUGACACACCGAACAGAUCCCCGACUCUUCGACUGCGAUCGUGAUUGUCGAGGGGGCCGCUUAGAGUUCAACUAACCCCCUGAACCACUAGCCGCCUGCUUCUUGCCUUUAUCUUUUUCCUUUUCAAAGGACUCACACUCCUCCUGCGCGAUAGCAUUUCCUCGGUCCACCCAAAGAGCACGAUCUAACACUUCCUCAAAAGUCUUCAACUUGAGGGCAUGAAUCACCUUAAAUAUCUCGAGUCGCAACCCCCGCUCAAAACACUCCGCCCGGUCUCGGUCGCCAUGAAUCAACCCCGGGACCCAAUUCACCAAAUGUAAGAACUCUCGCUCGUACUCCCGCACGGUACGACUUUCUUGCCUCAGCUUGCGAAAGUCCUCCUUCAUCUUUCUUUUAUCACUGUCGGGGAAGUACUCCAUAAAUAGUAAAUCCCGAAACUCCUCCCAAGUCAUCGGAGGAAGAUCCGAAGACCGAUUCUUCUUAACACGCCUCCACCAAACUUGAGCAAACUUUUUGAAGCAAUGUGCGGCCAAGUGAACUUUGUCCUUCUCCAAGGUAUAAAUAUCCUCAAACAACACCUCCAUGGAAGUAAGCCAUGCUUCCAUCACCCAUGGGUCCGUCACCUCCCCGUCGAAAGUAGGAGGGUGAAAUUGCUUGAAGGUCGUCAACACCGCCAAUGACCGCUCCUGCUCGGCCUCUAGCGCGACUGCAUCAAGACCUAAAGAACCAGAAGCCAUCGAAGUAGUCGCCAAAAUAUUAGGCGUCGUCGCCGGCACCGCGGCUACAAUAGGGGCCAGUGCCAUAGGUGUAGGUGGGUCCUGACUCUCAGGUGCAGCCGCCGCCGCCUGUCGAGACACUACCUCUUGGAGCCUCUCGAUCUGCUUCUCCUGACGCUGCAUAGCUCCAACUAAUGCAGCCACUUGAGCACGGAGCUCCUGAACUUCAUCACAUCCAAAUUGCUCGGGCACCUCAAAAGGCGAUGCCGGAGUGGAUCUCAUCAUCGGACGUCGAAUUGGGACCAUUGUCUCCUGAAACAUAGCACCCAAAUUAAUACUCGACUCACGUUACACACCCGACGUCGCAACAACAUAUCCCGACCAAACCAAAUCAAGCGAAAGCAAUCAAGUGUACUUGUUCUCAUCCCUCGGCAUUAUGUUGUUGGCCGCCAGCAUAAUCUCUUAAGUUGAGAGCAAAUAACAACUUGGAUUAGCCCCUAUUUAUUAUUAGAGACACACUACCAACUAACCCAAUCCAUUUUGCUUUCGCUAUAAUCAAGUUCACGUUACUCGUGUCCUAUAGUCCUUAAGGUCUCCAAUCCUAAGGUCCCUAGGUCAGUCCUAGACUGUCACGCCCCGAGACUGCUACCAAUUUGGUCCGGUUCGGGCGCGUCGAACAGACGCCGAACGGACAGCAUCUCCCCUGUCCGCCCAAGGCUAAACAACCUGAUCAUGUACAAGAAUUUGCUCAGGAAUAGAAAUUCUAUACAUACACAAUUAACGAAGGGCACAACAAGCGCCAACAACUAAGAGUAAGAGUCACAUGUGCAUACAAGUGAACAAAAGAGAGAUCUACUAGCUAUUACAUCCAUUGCAUUCAUUUACCUUAAGUUACAUUUACAUCUUUUCUAAAAUGGAUACAUGUUUACUAGAUCAUCACCAAAAUACAUCAAUAGCUCUCCAAUCCUCACCUACAUAAAUCACUCGUAUACAUAGGUGCUACUAAUGCAAAAGGAAAGCUACUAUACUACUGCUCGGGCGCUAUACCCUUGCCGCGGUCCUCGCCCGGCGUACGCAAACUAGGCCCUACAACAAAGUGGGGUGAGAACUAUUGUCCAUAGUUCCCAGCGGGUUUGGCCGCCGACUCCGCCGAUCUCCCCACUAGGUCCGAGUGGGCAAAAGCAGGUAGAUAGAUAGAUAGAUAUGAAAGCGGUAAAUGACAUAAUAAGAAAACUACGCUACUAUGCCCAAUCAAUAAUCAUGUACGCAUUCAUCAUAUAGUGAGUAAUUAACUAACAUGCAACUAUGUCCACUAAUAAUGUCCAAUAAGCAUAUGUUCAAUAACAGUGCUAUUCUCUUGUUUACUCAAUCAUUGGCGAUCCCUUGGAUUCGCCCAUGACUCACCUCGCCAUCCCGUAUGGUAAGGAGACUCACCUCGCUCUCAAAUCUGGGACCGUCUGCGGGACCUCAACUCUGCCCCUCUCGCGCCAAACUCCGGAGUGCACGACGACUUGUGUGGCGGGACCACCACAAGUAUAAACAGACUGUGAUUAUGAUCCAUCAUCUCAACUCGAGGAUACCCUAUCAACUAGAGCUAGUUGUCACUCGGGAAUUCACCUAUCCCAAUGUCCAUAUGUAAGUACUUGACUACACUAUGUUCUUUGCUCAACGAGUCAUCACUAGGGAGUUCACCUAUCCCUAAGUUCAUAUGUCACUAGUGUCAUUAUACACUACAUUAUAUGCCACUCGUUCUGUUCAUUUGUCAAGCACAUGCCACUCAUUAUGUCACUAGGUAACCAUCGAGUCCAUCUCUUUUCCUCGGCACUAUAGGAUUCAAUGUCAAGACCCAAUCCUUAUCUAUCCAUUAUACCAAGUAUUCAACUCACACUAUGAUAUCAAUUAGAAAGCAUAAGAAAUGGAAAACAAUGCAAUACUACAAUGCAAUAUGCCAGAGAUGCAAAAUCAUGGNAUUAUGUCACUAGGUAACCAUCGAGUCCAUCUCUUUUCCUCGGCACUAUAGGAUUCAAUGUCAAGACCCAAUCCUUAUCUAUCCAUUAUACCAAGUAUUCAACUCACACUAUGAUAUCAAUUAGAAAGCAUAAGAAAUGGAAAACAAUGCAAUACUACAAUGCAAUAUGCCAGAGAUGCAAAAUCAUGGUGUACUAAGACAUAGAGAGGAACCCGGUUGCUUCGGGAUGACACCACCUACCUUUCGACGAUGUCGAGGCUCUAAGAACACUUCUCGGCACUUACUACGAUGUCGUCUUGGCCCCCAAGGUGGAAACAAAGCCCAAUCGGUCUUGUUUUGUCGAUAUCUUUUCAACGACUCGACGAAUCGUCAAUCUGUCUUCGCCAACGUGUUUAGACACCUAGCAAUUAAGUUUAGAUGCUAUCAAUUGAGAUCAAACCUCACUAUUAGGCAAAACCCCAAUUUGGAGCCCUAGGUUUGCAUCUAGGCAAAAAGCCCCAACAAAGCUCUAGAUUCUAGCAUUAAACCUCCAUUAGGUGUGCUAGUGAUCCAAUCAAACCAUUCCUAGAGCUAAAAACCCAAACCCUAGCAAGCUACCAUGAAAGGGGUUCAUAGCUUACCUCCAAGCUAGCUCCAAUGGUGUGGAGAGGAAGAGGGAGAUGACCAAGGCCCCUUCUCUAGCUUGCUUCUCCUUCUUCUCCACCUUCUUCUCCUUCUUUUCCUUCUUCUCCUUCUUUACUUCAUGAGAGGGAGAGAGAGAGCUUAGAGAGAGAGAGAUGUAUGUGUUUGGGUGGGAAAAUAAGAGGGAGAGAGGGUGAUCUCCUCUCUAUACCCCCAACUAAUGCAAAAUUGCAUCCAAGCCCCUCAACUUUGCACUCUGUGCACUGCCCAACCUGGGCAAUUUUCGUGCUCGGGGACCGGUCUGUCCCUAGAGGGACUGGUCCUCGAGAGCAACCCUCGUGGGCAGAGGCUCUUAGCCAGCUUCUACGCGUACGGGGACCGGUCCUCGCCUGAGGGACCGGACCUUCAAGGACCGGUCCCCCCUCGAGGGACCGGACCCCGAGAGCAAACAUCGCGCGCAGAGUUUUCUGCCGCACAUUCAGCUUACGGGGACUGGUCUCUCCCGCCAGGGACCGGUCCCUGAGAGCAAUUUCUGCCAAGUGCAGAUUUUUGCACAGCUUGCUCUCGUGGAUCUGUUGCAAUGCACUUUUCGGAUUUUCGACUUCUUCGGCUUUUCCGAAGCAUACCCACUCGACAAUUAGUCGAUUUUAAUCAAAGUCCAACUCUCGAAUUUCGAGAAUUUACUUCCUUACAUAGACUUUCACUUUCACGCUCUUAUACCAUUAUAUCUGUCACCCCCCGUGACUACCAAUUUGGCCGGUUCGGGCAUGUCCAUAGAUGCCAAACGGACAAGACCUCCCCUGUCCGCCCAAGGCUCAACAACAACCACAUGUAUAGCCAUUGCAUACAUAGAAAAUUUUUGUAGUACACUGAACUUCAGCAAACUGCAAGGUUCUAGUGUUAGAAUAGUAAUUGAAACUAUUCUAGGAUUUGUGAGGAUUUGUCGAGGGCACUUAGGCAUUUAAUUUAAGUGUUUUAAAUGCCAGGUCAUGUACAUAACACUAAAGUCUGUAAAGUUUAGAUUGGGGUGUUGAGGACUCAGGUACCGGUACCCUAGAGGGCUUACCAGGUGCGUAGCUUUCAGGUUUGAGUAGCUGAAGCUGAGUACCGGUACAGCAUUGCGCGGGUACCGGUACCCAGUGUUAAAAUUUGCUACGCAGCUCUCGGGUUUGGCUGUUUAUAGGCCGAGUACUGGUACCUCAACCCAAGUACCGGUACCUCAACCUAAGUACCGGUACCCAGUGCGGCAGAUUGAGUUGGUAAGGGGUUUUUUGGUAAUUUCAUAGUGAUGGUUAUCCAUUUAAACCCCAGCUCGACCUUAGCUAAUGUUUCCUGUGCUAGAGCUUGAGGAAAAACAGGGUAAGCUCUACUCUUUCUCUCUUUAGGGUUUAUUCCAUUUUGAGUGGAAAUUAGUAGAUUUGAGCUAGUUUCUUUACUUCUCUUGAUGCUAGUUGGUUUGGAGAGUCUUGGAGCAGCCGUAGAAGUGUGGAAAAAAGAGUUUUGAGAGUGAUUCUUCAACCCUAACUCAGGUAUAACCGAGUUGGAGCUUGGGAAGGUUAGUAAUCUAGCUUUUCUCUAGUAUUGAUGUUAUUGGUAGUAGUAUUGGAACUACUUUAGAAUAGUUCACGGCUGAAGUUGUGGAACUUAUGUUGGAUGUUGUUAACUCUCUUUUAGGUUGGAAUUUCAGUUGCCAACCUAAGGUGAAGUGGAGAUUAAGCCUUGGUUCAAUACUAAGUAAGAUUCUACCUAAGUUAGGAGAACUUGUGAGGUUCUUAUUGGAAGGUUUGAGUACUAACUUAGUAUGGUUGUUAGGGUGCUGGGAGGCUAGAGAGUACCUUCGCUCGCAGGAGCGACAAGAGUUGACAGCGAUUCGGUGGGUUUGACCUCACCGAAAUGGGUGAAUUCCCCCUAUGUUCUUAUUCUUGACAUAGAGUUAGAAUUAUGCAUAUGUUUACUAGCGGCAUCAUAAGCGAGUUGUUGGCAGUAAUAGUGGUAUUUACAUCAUAUAGCAAGUUAUACUCUAUGUAGUAGAGAGCUAAAGGUGUUAAAUUCCUUGCAUGAUAACUAGUAUACUUGUGUAGACAAGUCGGGAAUGGAUAUAAUAUGCUUAGACUAGCAUGAUGUUUAGACUAGCAUGAAUUUCAUAUGGUUGUUAUAACCUAAUUGAUAACUAGCAUUUAAUAUUGGACUUAGAUCCCGACCUAUAGGUUGGUAGAGGACAUUCCAUGUUUGAGACAUGACGAUUGAGAACCCUGUAUCGUGGAUUCGCACAUGCUUGUGAGGGUCGCUCCCCACAAGCCGGCACUCCGGAGUUGGCCUACGCGACAUCAUGCGCGCCUUUGCGGGAUUAGGUGCCUAAGUGGAUUGCCGUGGGGAGUGUAUACUACCACGUGGCCAUUAUAAAUUGAACAAAGAUACUAAAUUGAACAAAGAUACUAAAUUGUAUUAGUACAAUGGUCAUUACUAGAUAGUUUGCAUUUAUGAGAUGAUAUAGCAUGCUUACUCAUAUAGAGUAGUUCCUUUAUCUGUUGCUUACUGAUAGUAGCAUUAAAGGCAUUAUAAUUCUAUUGUUCACUAGUUGUUUAUUGCUCACAUCAUGUUAUAGUCAUACAUGCUUUCUAUUUAUAUAUCAUGAACCUAGUGGUGUAAUUCGCUGAGGUCGGCGGCUUAUCCACUAGGAACUGUUAACUAAUAGUUCUCAUGCCCUAUUUGUUGUUGUUUUUUUACAGAGCCAUCCACAGCGGGAGAGGCUAGGGACCGCGGCAAGGGAGUCGCGUCUAGCUAGGCAUAGCUUGGAGUCGCACUAGGUGAUCACCUCUCUAUUUUGGAUGUCUCAGUGAGGAUGAUAUGCUACCUUCGUAUAGAGACUAUCAUAUGUGUAUAUAGUUGGUUCCUAUGACCGUGUGAUGUAUGAGUUGUUAGAGAGUUGUAUUUGCAGUUUUAUAUUCUUGCUUGCUGUUGACUUUAGUGGAUUUUGUAUAUUUUACGCUCUGGCUUUUAGUGCAUCUUGGACAUUAUAUGCUCUAAUACCAUGUUAGACUUUUCUAUUUAUUGUUACUUAUCUAGCAUGGUCUUGGUAGACGCCUUGUAUGCUUUGGGUAUAUGGCGAGUCUGUGCAUGUACCGGGUAGGCUUUCGCUGGAAUCCGGGCGUGACAAUUUUGGUAUACACGGCUUGCUUGAAGGCAAGCAACAACAACUAAAGUGAAAGUAAGCUAACUACCAUUACAACAUCCAUUGUACUUUGCAAGAUUGAAACAAAAUACAAAGUUUGAUACUUCAUUACAUCGAGGUUCCAAAUUACAUCAUAUAUUCUUCAAAUACAUACAUCAUUCUUUCUAUAUAGUUCAUUCAUCCAGUACAAAAGAUGAAUCUCAAAAGGGUACAAUACUAAACUCGACAGAGGCCCGCUACCUAGGGCGCAAUAUCCUUGCCCCGAUCCUCGAUCGCCCCGCUCGCGUUAGAAUCUGUAAGGUUAGUGGUGUGAGAACUAAUGAAAGUUUCCAGUGGGUUCGGCUGCCGACCUCGCCGACUCACCCACUAGGUCUACUCAGGUAUAUGUAGGAAAGAAAAGAGAUAUAGUAACCAGAACUAAUGCUACUACAAUGGCUAUACAAAACUGGAAAGAGAUACUAUACUCAUGAUGCUUGCAUGCUUUUUUACCUUUACCCAAUCCACUUGUUUAACCCUUUGGUUAAACCUCAACUCACCAAACCAAAUUCCUUUUGUUGGGAAGAAUACCGCUACAACCUGACAUGACCGUCUGCUGGGGAGAAUUCCACUACAAACCCAGUUGAUGACACUUCGGAGCUUACCGCCCAAGGUAGAGCGACCUGUAUCGAGCAUUCAGACUACCUGUGAGUACAAUCCUCAUCUGAAGGAUACCAUGCCACAAUCUUAACAAGCUCUUUAUUCUAUGUUUAGCAUUUCCAAUUCUAGAUGCUAACCAAUUCAUCUCAUUAUAAUGCCACAAGUUCAUUUUCCUUGUCAAGCAUUUCCCAAUCCUAGGUGCUACUAAUGCUAUCUAGUCACAAUGUCACUUGUUCACUAGUGUCAUAGUUCAAUGCUUCAUACAUCUAUAGGAUUUCUAUGUUCAUCAUCUAUAGUUCACAUAUUCUUUGUUUCCAACGCAUACAAGAUUGCACCAUUACCACAUAUGUCACAUUUACCCUAUAAUGCAUGAAUCUACUAUACUCAUACAAUAUGCUCAAGAAGUAACUAGACAUAACGGGUUAUUCGAAGACUUUGGAUAGCGCCACCCACCUUAUAAUGAUGCUGGAGUGCGAGAAAAUCACUUCCCGCGAUUUAUGGUCGAACACUCCUCUCGCCCCACGACAAACGAAGCCGAAACGAAGUUUUUCCUCAAUAACUUGGUGUCGAUUUGUUGGAACCUCGAUCUGAGCUCGAGCCUCCCAAUACGUCGGUUUAUACUCUAAUUAAGGCUACAAGAGAUCAAACUUAAGUUAGAUCUCAUAGAUUGCAAAAUCCCAUUUUUUCCCUUACGGUUCAUACGAGACACCCAAUAUAAUCUAAGUUUGAGAUCAGACACCCAAUAUAAUCUAAGUUUGUAGGAUCUCAUAGCAUAAUCAAGCUCUAGAAAUCCUAAAGACUACAAAACCUAACCAUUUAGGGUAUAAAACCAAACCCUAAUCAAGAAGUUGCAAGAAACCUGCCUCAGGUUCUUGCUCCAAGAAGUCCUCCUUGUCCAAGAGCGUCUACUUCACCAAAAUCCUCAAACUCUAACUUUAAUUCUCCUUCAAUUCGACCAUGGAGUAGAGUUCUCUAGAGAGACAAGAAGAAGGAGAUGAGGUUUGGAGGAGAAAACGAAGUACUUUCUACAUGAGAAGUACAGGUGUAGAGGUGGGGUAUUUAUAUAGGCCUGGACAAUUGCAAUUAAGCCCCCAAAUAAACCCCCAUCAAUUAUUACAAACAUGUCCUUCCAAGUCUGGCUAUCGGUACUUGGGUUGUAGUACCGGUACUAAAGACUUCUAGUACCGGUACCCGACAGCAAUACCGGUACCAAUCCUCCAACUCGAAGCUACACAAAUUCCUGCACGCUUCGCAGUACCGGUACACAAGACCAGUACCGGUACACAGCCUCGUACGGUCCGGAUCCCGAGAGCUGUAUCAACACACACUAGGUGGGUACCGAUACUACAUCACUCUGGUACCGGUACCAAGUGCAAAUUUUGCACUUUAAUAGCAUAAUUGCUCCGGGACUUCGUUUUCGCACCCGGUUUGCGCCGAAUACCCCUAAACAACUUCGUAACUCAUUUCUAACCAUCCCCACGCCUCCGAAAUGAC